This 53913-nucleotide long non-coding RNA is filed under the name Malus domestica (apple). RNAcentral's name for it is "long non-coding RNA (MDOM_LNC014496)". Lineage: Eukaryota; Viridiplantae; Streptophyta; Magnoliopsida; Rosales; Rosaceae. The record is from RNAcentral.
CCGGGGCAAUGUGCGGUUUUGUGGCAUAAAUAAUUAGAGUGGGAUAAAUAGCACCUUACAAAAAUUCUUGUGCUGUGUUUGUCGGUUCAUCUCCCACUGGGACUGGCUAAUUUAGUCCAAGGCCAAGCAGAAAGAGUGAAGAUGAGCGAUCCCAACGUCGGAGGUAGACCCGGCCAGGCCCCGGCAAACGGCGGUGGGGGUAGAGCACCAGUGCCACCUAGAGGAUCCAUAAUCAAGAAGAUUGUGGCUGACUUGGUUAGUCGCCCGUAACCAUUUGAUCUACAUACUCGUCGCCAUAAAGUUAAGUACGAUGUGUGCCGAUAUGUUUGUAUGUAUAUUUUUAUGAAGCCUAACUAGUUGUGAAAUAACAACGGGAAAUCCCCCAUUUGGUGUUGGGGGGGGGGGGGGGGGGGGAAGUGUAAUUGGGGUUGGAAGUUGUAUGGAUCUAUUUGCCAAAUCUUGUUUGGUGUUAAUGUUAGUAUUGUUGAUGAUGAGUUGUUUCUUAUGGGAAUUCUGACUCCAUCAUCAAUUGCAACCUGCAAAUGGAGUUUGUUCUUUUGGUAAAUUAAGUCGGUUAAUUGCUUGCUAAUGACAAUUUUCUUGACUGUGUUCAAUUAUUUGCGAAUUUUAUUCAAUUGUAAAUUUGGUUCAAUUAUUUGCGAAUUUUAUUCAAUUGUAAAUUUGAAUCGUUGAUUAUUAGGUGACGAUGGUGUGAUUUACGAGAAAUUGAAUAAAAUUUUCAAACUCGAGCUGUUUGGCUUGGAAUUGUAUUGCGUCAAAUACGACCUGAAGAAACUCCAACGAGCCAAAUACGACCUGAAGAAAAUAUAACUUGGAAUUGUAUUGAAAUUAUUAAAAUUAUAUAUUACAAUAUUUCAUAUUAUAAUAUAUAACCCUAAUUGAAGUAACAAUGAAGAAAUAGAGGAGCUGCCUACAUAGUGGGCCUCGAAUGUACCUAAAAGUACAAAUAGGCUUGGGUAAAGCUUAAACCGGGUUUAAGUGGGCCGCCCAAUUCGACGGACUAUUUUGCCAUGCCCAAAGUGUAACAAGAAGUCAAUUGGAUGCCAUAUAGAUGGGUAACAUUUUUAUUUAACAUUUUCGUUAUUUUCUUAGUUCUUUUUCUUAUCCUCUAAUGUUGCAUCCAAAACUAUUUAUUUUCUAUACUAUCUUUAACAAUCAAGUUUGACAAAAAUCGUUUAGUUAUCUAAUAAUUAUUCAAUAAAGAAACAAACAAUGUUAUUUAGUUAAACAUUCAGUUCUCAAAACAUUCAUCGAACAAUUAAACUAAUUCUGAUUUGGUUGAAUUUUGUACAGGGUUGACAUUUAAAGGAUAAACUAGAAAAUAGACAAUUUCAAUCAUCGUGCAAUAUUCGCACAGUAAAAAAAAAAUCUUACAAAAAAGUUGGCUGCAAUGUGUAUUCUAGAAGCUGAAGAGGCAUGUGAUGAAAUCAUGAAAGUAGCCACCACCGUUUGAUAUCAUCCCUGUCAACCUAGCCGUUGCUCAACGGAAUUCAUACCCGGCAACAAAAUUCAAAUAUCUGAAAAGCAAAAGAAAAAAAGCAAAAGCCACAUUCACACACCCACUUUUUCCAUCACUUCCCACAAAUUAAAUAAAAAAAGCUAGUACCAACUAUAUAAAUUGUGUAACCACUUACCAUCAUGUUCCUGCAUUAAUUCAAAAUCCAGCAAAUGGGUUCCUGCAUUAGCAAAUGCACACCCAAAAAACACUUCCUACAACAAUUCAACAAUGUCCAAGACAAGUUGAUAAUUUCACAGCCUCCUCCUAGGAUCACCAUCCCUCCAAUUUCUGCUUCCAACAAAAUCUCACCUUGUCCUCAAUCCCCUUCCAACUCCACUUCCUCUGCCUCCUCCUUCCCUUGCACCACAAGCACUUCCUACACAAGCGCUUCCUCCUUGAGCUCAGCCUUGUCAAGUGCUUCUUCGGCCUCCAGCUCGAAAAUUGAUCGUUCUUUCUCCAACGAGUUCUUGUGGUCGUGUUACAAGGAGAACCCGCAUGUCAUUCGCAUUAACUCGAUCAAAGAUGCAAGCUUUUCGAGAUUUUCCCCAUCGGCAUUGCCACAAAAGCCGGUUUCUGCCACUGUAGUGAACAAGAAGCCGCUGCCGAACCUUAAAAGGGCAAAUGUGUCAGUUACACCACAGAAGAGAGUGAGAUCAAGCUCACCAAAUUCUCUAGGAAGGCAAAAGAGCUUCCGAAAAGAGCCAGAGAGGCCUAUGAUCUCUGCAUAUUCACAUCCAAGUAGAACUUUGAGGUCACCCUCCCCAAGUAGAAGGUUCAACAUGCCAAUCCCACCAAAAGAAUUAAAUCAUUUGAGACCUAACAGUGCAUUGAAUGUUAGGCCUGCAGGUUCAUAUUGUUGCGCGACGGACCAGCGUGAGGCCGGUACUAAAUCCACAUCCAAGACUUGUAUCGAGCCACACAACCCCUACGCGAAUUACAAUAAUUCGAGCCGGCGACUUCGGCCUUGUUUGAACAGCAGAGAAACAGAGAUGAGAAUUCACAGGAUCACCUCUAAAAUCGAUGAGGUUGCAGCUGGAGAAGCACUGGCUGACUAUAUGGACUCUCUUCCUGCUGAGGACAUUGAUAACCCUUUAAUUUCUCUUGAUUGUUUUAUUUUCUUGUAGAUUAAUAUUUUGUGUGUGUGUGCGUGUGUGUGUGUGUGUGUGGUCAUGCGUAUAUUUGAAAGGUUGUGAAUUUAUUCAUUUUAUGGUUUGGCAAUGUGGAAAUGAUCUACUGGAUCAUCCAACUAAGUAAUUCUCUUCUGUAUAUUUAUUUGGUUUGGGUUUUUAUUUAAUUUUAUUAGUAGCUUUAAAAAAAAAAUUGUAUCCUUAUUUAAACAUUUGUUUUAAAGGUAAUACGAGGAAUAUAAUUGAUGCAUUUUUUUUGGAGAAAAUCAAACGAGUUCACUCUUUUUCAGUGCAACAAUAUAUUUACAUUAAGUGUUAACCAUAGUGCAGUAAUGCUCAAUAUUGCACAUAGAAGAUUAGAAAGACUUAUGAAGAAGAAGAUCGAAGAAGGAGAGAGAGAGAGAGAGAGAGAGAGAGAGAGAGAGAGAGAGAGAGAGAGAGAGAGAGAGAGAGAGAGAGAGAGAGAGAGAGAGUUUUAAAGAGAGAAAUAAAUCUUUGCAUAUAUUUUCCUUAAUGAAUCUGAUCAAUACAAUCACAAUAUAUCUUGUGUAAGAUUUUGUUUCAUUUUAUCUUUAUCUUCUAAAUCCAUACAACUUGGACUAACUAACUAACCAACUCUUGUAAUCUAGCCUUUCAAACAUUGACAGAUGUCAUAAUCCUAAUGACUUUGAGUAUAUACUCUAACAUCCCCCCUCAAGCUCAGGUUUGGAUGAACUAAGCAUGAGGUUGCUGCAAUGUGUGUUGAAGAAAGGUGCACUGAGUCCUUUAGUUAAGAUGUCUACAAAUUGAUCUGAAGAAGAAACAAAUUGUACCAGUAGUUUCUUGCUUGCAACCCUUUCUCGCACAAAGUGAACAUCAACUUCAAUGUGUUUAGUUCGCUGAUGAUUUACUGGAUUAAAAGAGAAUGCUAUAGCAGACAUAUUAUCACAAAACAAUACUGGAAGAUUAGAAAUUUUGAUUUGCAAGAAUGUAAGCAACUGUUGAAUCCACUCUAAUUCAGCAGAUGUUGAAGACAAAGCUCUAUAUUCAGCUUUAGUGGAUGAACGAAAGACUGUUUGCUGCUUCUUUGAAGACUAAGAGAUGGGAUUGUUGCCAAGAAAAACAACCAAACCUGUAAUUGAGCGGCUAUCAUUGGGAUCCCCCACCCAGUCAACAUCACUAAAGGCUUUGAGAAACAACUAUCCUUGACUAUAAGUAAUCCCUUUAGAUAAAAACCCUUUAAGAUACCUCAAAAUACGUUUAACUGCAGUGAAAUUAGAUAUCAUUGGAGCUUGCAUAAACUGACUAGCCUAAUGCACAAAGAAUGCGAUAUCAAGUCUAGUGAACACAAGGCAUUGCAAAGCUCCAACCACACUUCGAUAAAGGGCAGAAUUAUUAAAAGGCUGGCCAUCAUUUUUAAGAAGUCUACUAUAAGGCAAACAUGGUGUGGCUGCAGGUUUGGCAUCUAUCAUGUCUAUCUUCUUUAACAAGUCAACAAUAUACUUUUCUUGAGACAAAAACAACCUCUGAGUUGUUCUGGAAAUUUGAAUACCUAAGAAGAAAUGUAAAGGACCAAGAUCCUUAAUAUCAAACUCUUUGGUUAAAUCUGCAACAACUUGUUGAAUAGCAGAAGAUGCACUCCCAGUAAUUAUAAUAUCGUCCACAUAUAAGAAAAGAACCAUAAUGGAACCAACAACAUGUUUAACAAAUAAUGAAGAAUCGGAAUGAGUGUUUUUGAAACACUACAGUGGUAAAAAUUGAGUAAACCUAUCAUUCCAAGCCCUUGGUGAUUGUUUAAGUCCAUAUAAAGACUUAUUCAAUUUGCAAACCAGGUAGGGAUACUUAGAAUCCUCAAGACUUUGAGGUUGAGACAUAUAAACCUCCUCAUUUAAAAUGCCAUGAAGAAAGGCAUUCCUCACAUCUAGUUGUCUCAAUGGCCAGUUAUAGUGAGCAGCAAGAGCAAGUAUGAGUCUCACAGUUAUUGUUUUAACAACCAGACUAAAUGUCUCACCAUAGUCCAAAUCUUCCUCUUGACUAAAUCCUUUGGCAACCAAACAAGCCUUAUGUCUAGCAAUACUCCUAUCAACAUUUCUCUUGACUUUAAAAAUCCAUUUACACCCAACUAAAUUCUUUGUGAGGUGGAAGAUCAACCAAACUCCAUGUUUUCUGUGAAUAAAGAGCAUUAAGCUUCUCAUUCAUUGCAUUAAACCACACGAGAACUUCCAAUACAGAUUUAUAUAUGGUAGGUUCAGUAAUAGUCAAAUCAACCACUGUGAAGAUGUUGGCAGAAGAAAAUAGAACAAUUUUCUUAACAAUUCCACUCUUGAAUUGAGUUUGCAUGGGAUGUAAAUUCAAUGGUGGUAUGUCAUCCAUUUGAAGACUUUCAGAGCUAUAUUCAGGAACCAUAUGAGCUGGAGAAUCUUGGGCAACAAUGGACUGAUGUGGUGAUGAUGACUGAGAUAAUAUAUAUGGUGGAGGAUAUUAUGUUGGGGGAGAUUGAGAAGGUAAUGGAUCAGGUUCAUGUAUAAAAGAAGGAACUAAUGAUGGAGAAACUAACACAUUUUGCAAGGUAGUUAUCACAACAGGGAGUAUUUGAGGACUACUAUCGGGCUUUAAACAUUAUGACUGCGAACAUUAUGACUUAGAACUCAAAGCACUGUAGGGAAAAUCAAGUUCAUUGAAAAUAACAUGUCUUGAUAUAUAUAUUUUCCCAAGAUUGAGUUCAAAACAUAUAUAACCUUUAUAGUUCGAAGCAUAUCCCAAAGAGAUACAUUUUGCAGACUUAGGUUAAAAUUUGUUGUUGUUAUAGGGUUUUAAAAGUGGAAAGCAAGCACAACCAAACACCCUUAGGUGCUAGAUUUCAGGAAUAGCAGAGUACAAUAGUUCAAAAGGUGAUUGAUUUUGAAGGAUAAAAAUGGCAUUUGAUUGAUCAAAUAGAUGGCUGUUUGGCAAGCAAAAGUCCAAAACUUAAAAGGUAAAUGUGCAUUCUGUAACAGUGUAAUUGCUGUUUAAACUACAUGUUUAUGCUUUCUCUCAGGCAAACCGUUAUGUUCAGGGGUAUAGGGACAAGAUUUAUGAUGAGAAAUGCAUUGUUUAGCAAGAAAAGACUGCAUAGGUUUACUAAUAUAUUCACCCUUCAUCACUCUAUAAAGUCUUAAUUCUUGCUGAGAAUUGAGUAAAAACAAAGUGGUAGAAUGUAACAAACACAUAAUAAAUAUAAGAUUUAUUGAUUAAAGGAAAGAGUCAACAAAAUUUGGUACAUUCAUCAACAAAAAGGACAUAAUAUUUGAAACCAUCCAUAUAUACACUAGGUGCAGAUCCCUACAAAUCACUAUGCAUAACCUCAAAGGGUAUUACAGAUUUUGCAGAAGCAGAAGAAAAAGGAAGGAAACAUGUAGGUGAGAUGAUGAACCUAAUGAUAAACUGGGGAAUGAAGGAAUUGGAUACAGUCCAUUGUUGCAUAGCCUUUUAUACAAUAUUCUCCUUGUGGUUUUGUCCUGAAUCCAAAAACAGUAAGCAUCGAAUAUUAACUACAAUUGUUGUCAAAACAUAUUCUAUGAACUGACAGCAAAUUAUGAGACAAUUUGGGAAUGUAAAGAACAUAAUUCAAUUUGAUAGAUUGUGAAGAUGGCCGAAUAAGAGAACUCCCAAUAUGUGAAACUUGUAAACCUUCCCCAUUUGCAGUGUGAACGGUCUCAUUAUUUGGAUAUGGAGAGGCCAGAGACAAAUUGCUGAGGUCAUUUGUCAUGUGAUUGGUUGCAUCGGAAUUUGUCAACCAAACUUGUGGGGAAACGAAAUUGGGCAUGGUAGGAGCAUAUGAAGUAGAGACAUUCAUGUUAGGGGUGGUUCGGUAUGGGAUACCUAACCAAAACUAGUACCCCGAAUCUCAAACUGAAAUUUUUCGGGACGAGAAUUUGAAGACCAAUCUCAAACCAAAUUUUCGGGAUUUCGGGACAAAUCGGGAAUCCUAAAUUAAAAUAUGAAAUUAUGAAUUAUUCUUCAAAUAUAUAAUUCAAGAACACAUUCAUGAAUUAUGAAUGUCAUUUCAUUCACACUACCAUUUAAUUGAACACUGGCAUGCCUGACUGCUUUUAUCAAAGUCAAAAUUCAAAUUAAUUAAAACCCUUUUGGCAAUCUGUUGACAGACAAAAGAAUCAAGCCUUAUAAAAUCCUCAACCAUGACAGCAGCAAUAAUAAAAUCCAAAUGAAAAUCAAACAGAACAUGAAAAAUAUGCAAGGUGCAGGGCAUUCCUGAUUGCAGAGCAUGAAUUAGAAACUACUAGCAUCAAUUAUAAAAGAAUAAUAUAUAUCAUAUAUAUGUAUAAAUAUAUAUAUUUUCGGUUCGGUAUGGGAUUCCCCAAAUAUCAAGAAGCCAAUCCCGAAUCUUGUACCGAAAUUUCAGGAUCUGUUCGGGAUAACAUCCCAAAAAUUUCGGGAAUUUCGGUUUGGGAAAUUUACCGAAAUUCCUGGUUUGGGAUCGGGAUUUUUUCGAUUCAGUUCAGGAUUUUUGGGAAUUUUUUCCACCCCUAAUUCAUAUUGGUAGAAGCAUAUGCAUUAGAACUAGUUAUAUGUGUAGAAGAAUUGAGAUUUGGUGUACCAGUUGAAGACAUCAUGUUCAUCAUAGAGAGCAUAUUAGGAUAGUCCAUAUGCAUCAUAGAGGGCAUAUAUGGAGGCUGCAUAUAUCCAGGAAAAGUAGCUUGCAUAACAAUCAUCUGGGAUGAAUGAGGUCUGUUCUUAUUUCUAUAAAAACAAGUUUUUGUAAUAUGGUUACUUCGAUCACAGAUUUGACAGUUCACGGUAGACUCAGAUGAGUUAGUGUUUCUGUAACCACAAGUAGCAACACUAUGACCUUGUUGAGAACAUAACUGACAGAUGAUACUGGACGAAGAUAGACCAUUAUGAAGCCGGGAAGGAUUACUAAGAAUUCCAGGAGUAAAAUCAUGAACAACAGGUUUAUAUCUGAAAUAACUUUGUCCCUGAUUAUUAUAAUAUUUGUGGCCCUGAAAAUUUCCAGUUUUACCUUUACCCUUGUAUUUAAACUUGUGACCUCCAUUAAAGAAAUGAGAUUGGCCAGAGUUAUCAUUAAAACCAUUUGGAGCUUGAAACCCAGAAUGAAAAACUCCUUGAGACUCAGAAGAUGAAGCCCCAAAAUUAGAACCUUGAUUCUUUACAAACAAUGCAGUAGAAAAUGGUAGACUUUGACUGUUCUCAAUAAUUGAUUCCUCUGCAAGCAACUAAGCACGAAGUUCUUUAAGGGAAAUUACAUUCUCUCUGCCACAAAUUACACAUCGAAAUGUGUUAUAUUCCGCAGGUAAACCAUUCAAAGCCAAGAUAACAAUGUCCUCAUCUUCAAAAUUAACCUUUGCAACCGCAAUAUAGUCUAUUGCCUCUUUAAUCUAUUGAAGAUACUGAGAUACAGAAUCUACCCCUUUCUUGAUAGUCUGAAGAUCAUACUUGAGUUGAAAGAUUGAAGUCUUGCUAACUAUAGAAAAACGUUCUUAAAGACGAACCCACAAAUCUCUAGCAUUGGUACUCCCAAUUGCACAAGAAAUGGCAACAUACGAUAAAGUUGCAGUAAUAACUUGCAUAAGAGCCCUAUCAUGCAUUUUCCACACUUUAUAAGCAUCCGACUCAAUUCUUGAACCAAUGUCAACUGAUGAAACUUCAGAAUCACUCGAAGAAAUAAACGAGUAUUGAGGCGGACAACGAGUCGAACCAUCAACAAAUCCCAUUAUCCCAUAUCCUUCAAGCGUCAGUUGCAUAUGAAAAUGUCAUUGAAGAUAGUUGGAGUCAUCCAACUUAACCGACACAGAGGAUGAGAUAGAAGAAAUCAACCCAGUAAUCAGAGACUACAAGAUUUGCAGUAAUCAUUGUAAAGAAUUUUCUUUGAGGAAUAAGAACAAACACUUGGUAGGCAAGAACGACCCAACCGAAUCGAAGAACUUGGGGGUGAAGAGAAAAACCCAGAAAAUCACAAAGAGAUGAGAGAUGAGAGAUGAAGCGGAAGCACAAGAAACCAGAAUCAAAGAAGCUGUCUAAGCCAUUCGGGCGAUUGAUACCAUGUUAACCAUAAUGCAGUAAUCCUCAGUAUUGCACAGAGAAGAUUAAGAGAGACUUAUGAAGAAAAAGAUCGAAGAAGGAGACAAAGAGAGAGAAAGAAAUCUUUGCAUAUUUUCCUUAAUGAAUCUGAUCAAUACAAUCACAGUAUAUCUUGUGUAAGAUUUUGUUACAUUUUAUCCUUAUCUUCUAAAUCCAUACAACUUGGACUAACUAACUAACCAACUCUUGUAAUCUAGCCUUUCACACAUUGACAGAUGUCAUAAUCCUAAUGACUUGAGUAUAUACUCUAACAUUAAGGUGAAUGAUUUAGGUCAACCAUAAUAAUUUGGUAGCGAACUAGUAAAACUUAAAAUCUUCCACUUACAAGUGAAACGAAAUAUCACUAGAUCGUAGUACAACGUGGCUAUACUAUUCAAUAUGUUAGAUAGGAAGAAAUAUCAUCAAACUUUUUAGUUUGGUUGUAUUUUCUUUUUAAUGUUGAAAGAAAAAUGUAAGUGGUAGAUUGUCCUGACAAUUAGAGUCUUUCUGAACCAAAUCCUCUCCUUUUGUAUAGUGUAGAUUAGCCUAAAAUAUCACUUUGUAAUAAAAAAUUAUGUUGGGAAAAUAUAACCGAAACAAAAGGCUAUCAAUAUGUUCAUGGGCCUUUCUUUUUUUGAGUUUCAUUUUGGGCAUUGGAUUGGACAUGAAACUUUGAGAGGAAGUUACUUCACGGAUUGUUUUGCAUCUUGGUUUUGUUUUGAGAGAUGAAUCUGUUGGAAAAUUUAAUAUUAAUAUUAUUAUAUUAAAUUUAUUAAUUGAAUGGAAAUUAGAAGUAGAGUGUUUUGGUAAAAAGAUGUGCCUAUUCAAAUGAAGAGUUGCAACUUUUUACUAUUCAUUAAUAGUCACAUGCUUUCCAAAAAUGUAUCUCAAAUUCUAUAAAUAGGGAAGCUUCCUAUAAACAUAAAACAACUUUUAAUCAUACAUAUAUUCAUACAUAUAGUGUACUAAAUAUUAGAUAUUCUCAUUGAGUCUAUAUAAGAGUUUUCAACACAAUCAUGGAGCCUUGUGAUUUGAAGUGCUGCUAUUACAUGGACGUGAUUGUUGUAUCUUGGGAGACAAGCGCCGAUCAACCAUGAGCACCGUAGUGGGGUAUAAAAUUAUCGUAAUAAUAUAGGGUCUAACACUUUCCUCGACCGUGUUUCCAGGUUUUUCUAAUCCAUUAUGUCAUGUUCAUUUAACAUUGGUUACUCAUGUGCAUGCAUUACUUUGAUAUAUAAUUGCAUGAAUUAUUUUUUAAUUUUCUAUGUGAUUUAAUAAAGCAAUUAGAUCCUAUUUUUCCAACAGAAUCGAAAUGACAUGUGACUGAAUUGGUUUUCAAUGCAUAAAUUUAACAACUCAUAAGAUGCUACAAAGUGAGCUUGACUCUGAGUUUAUCUAUGUUAUCAAUCCAAAAUCCAAACACAUCAAAAUUUCCAUCUUCAACAGUUGACGUUGGAUUGAUCCGUUCGAAUCCUCUCCAUAAUUGUCUCAAAAAUUCCAUCAACCCUAAACUUUGACACUGUUUCAGCAAAAAAAAAAAAUAAAAAAACAAAACAAAACAAAGGAAGGACAGGUAGGCCAUACAUAUGAGAGAUAUUGUGUCCUUGAGAAAAACAAGAAUGUCGAGUUCACGUGAAGCCGUUUUGAUAUAUAUUGCUACAAAUCAAAAGGAUUAAAUAAAAACUAGAUAUCCCUGUCGGCUGGAAGUAAGGUAUAAAAUAUCGAUGAUAUCGGAAAUAUCGGUAGUUCAAAAAUACGGAAAUAUCGAUGGAAAUAUCGGAAUAUUAUUGAUAUCGAUAAAAAUUGAAUAAAAACCACGGAAAUUGUAAGAAAAACUUGGAAAUUUUUAUUGAAACUUUGUAGGGUGUUUAUUUAGUCAAUUAUUUAUUAGUUUAUCACAAAAAAUUAGAAGGAAAUGCAUUGCAUGAUGGAUUUAACUGAUUUAAGUUGAUUAUAUAACGAGCUGGCAAACAUUGUGAGUGUAUUUGGAACUAUCAAAUUAGUCCUUUAUCCUAAUUAAAUCUGAACUCUAUAUCUGGAUUUCGAAACCCUCUCAGGCUGCCACGUGGCAGCCCCCCCAGCACUCAUCACGUUUCUCUCUCUCUCUCCCCUACCCCGAGACCCCAUUUCCUUCUCUCACUCACUUCGACUAUCUCUCUCUUCUCUGCACUGUCUCUCUCUCGAACCCCUCUUACCUCUCUCCCUCUCUUGCCGUGACCACACACACACACGCAGCAGCACCAUCUGCUCCACUCGAGCAGCUCGAGGACACCACCAUCAUCACACAUCAUCAGUCUUAUCUCUCCCGCCUUGUGAGAAUGGCGGAGCCCAUAAACUCUCCGGCGAGUCUUCUUUGAUUUUCCGAUUAGGUAAGUCUUGAAUCUCUCUCUCCGUGUUAGUGUGAAGCUCAAAUUAGUUCGAUUUGCUGCACUGCACAACAGCAGAAUUCCUUCGUUCACCACCGCAGAAAGAAUAGAUAGUGAGCGAGCGAGCGGAGGGGAGACACACCACUCCCACCCCACAGUGACCUCCACCAGAGUAGCGCACACUCCUGCGAGCACCAUCACCACCUGUGAGAGGCGCAGAUCUUGGCAGAGAGAGGCGCAUAUCUUGGUGCUGCCACGACAGAGCUCGGCUGCCGUUCCGACGAUGGAGAGAGAGAGCGAUAUUAUCGAUAAUAUCAAUAAUAUCGCGAUAUUUUGACGAAAACUAAUUGGAUAACCAUUAAAAUAUCGGUAACGUGAAAAACCGAUAAAUCAGCGAAAUAUCGUCAAUAUUAUUGGCAUUUAAGACCUUGGCUGGAAGCACUUCAUCUUCUGUUUAGCAGGUUAAUUACAUUAACAUUUUUUGAGAUUUAUUAAUUUUUCACACAAUUGACUCAUGUUUGAGUCAUUACAUUAAUACACUUUCAGAUUUUAAUUCCCUUUCGUAUAACCUCUUGAGUAAAAAAAUCUAGUUAUAAAUUUACUAAUUUACCCUUACAAGUAAAGAAAAGUUCAUAUUUUUGUUGAAUAAGAAAAUCUUUAUAAAUAUAUAGAAAAAAAAAUCAAAUUAAAACAUUAUAUAUUAAAAAACAAAAAAUUUAGAAAUCAAAACGUCAGAGGCAGGGACGACAUAGUUGUUUAUCUCGCCAAGCUCAUUAAUUUGGUUUUCACCGAUGUCGUCGUGUCCAACCAGCCUAUACGGUUUCUGUGUAGGUUUUAGUAAAUCGAAUUUAAGAUUCAAUUUGGAUUCUUUGUAUAAUUGUAUCUCAAAUGAAAAAUUAGAGCGACAACCCAGAUCUUCAUUGUCUUGGACGGCCCCAAGGAAUCAAUAGUGGAAUUAAAAUUACAAUACAAAACCCUCGGGGUUGAUGUUGCGAUCAUUGUCGUAUUGUCCUUUUAAAUUUUUUUAAUGUUUUAUAAUUUUUUUAAUAUAUAAUUGUAAAGCUUUUCUUUAUUAGUUUCAAGUAAUAAUAAGAGGGUCGUUAAGUAAUUUACAAGCAAAUUUUUUACUCAAAGGGUUAGAUGACAAGGGAAUUAAAACCAAGGGGAUGUUAGUGUAAUGUCUCAAGAGCUAGGGAUUUUGUGAAAACCCAAUAAACCUCAAAGAGUGUUAGUUUAAUUAACCCUUUGUUUAGCAUUUGCUAUUUUCUAAUGAAAAAAUUUGAGGAUAAGAAAGGCUAAUUUUUUUUUUUUUUUAACAAACGAUAUUAUCUACACUAAAGAGAGAAGUGAUGGACUUAGCCUCACAAUGGGCUAGCAAUAAUGUGGUUCAAACUCGCAUUUGGCAAGAAUUGAACAUAAGAUCUCUCACUUACAAGUGAAGAGGAAUACCACUAUACCGUAGUACUAAGUGGCAAGAGAGGCUAAUUAAGCUGCCUAACCAUGGAUUCUUGAUGCAGUUUAGGGUUAGUCAUAUGGAUGAUGUCACAUUUUCAACCUUAAAUUAUGCAACGGGUGUGUGAUUUUCAGUAUAAAAAUGUGACUUACCCCUUAAAAUUCAAUUUUCUUUAUUUAAGAACCACAAGUAUUUUCUCUAACACUAACUAAGCAAAUUCAUUAAUUUAAUUUAAUUUAAUUUAAUUUAAUUUCACCCAAUUUAUAUUUUCGGUUGCCUAAAAUGCCCCUAAUGAUGAGGGGAACCAAACACAUGAGUUUUAUUGGCGGUGUCUAUCGUGUUUACUUCAAUUUGGUUAUUUCUUAUCUAAUUAAUGUGGACUAUAUGUAGUGAUUUCAAAUAUAUUGUAUUUAAACUACAUAUUAAUGAAAGGAAAUUGUUAUUAGCAUUUCAAAAAUCUCAUUCUACACUCCAAACUUUCUAUAUUAGGAAAGAAAGAAAAAACACUUGUGAAGAGUGUAGAAUAAGAAUUUUUGAGUGUCAAUAACACUUCCCUUAAUGAAAUCCUCUUUAUCAACCAAAAUACGGUGAAAAGACAUUUUUAUCUUUUAUUACAACAAAAAAGUUAAGGAUUUCACAAAAUAAAUUUUUAAUUUUUUUGUUUAAACCUUGCCUACAGAUGAUUCUAUCAUCUCUAAUUUAAAAAAAAUAAAUAAUAAACCCUUCUCCAUCUCUCCUCCACGUUAUGUCUCUCUUCCUCUCCUUCAAUUUUAAAAACAAAAAUGAAAAAUUUCACAUACAUUUUAUGUGUGGGCAUAUACUAGUUUAUAUAAAACUAAUCUCUUGCCACAUGCGUUGACUUUUUUAUUUUUUAUUUGAAAAAACAAAAUAAUAAUAUAUUUUAGAAAAUAAUAAAGUUAGUUACUAACUAAUCCAUGGGGUUAUUUUUUUUGUAAAUUAUUUACUUUAUUUGAAAAUUUAAUGGGGAAAAGGGCAAUUUUGAAAUUAUGAAUGUUUCACCAUUUUUUCCUUCUCCCUUUAUAUAUACCAGUAUAUGCCAACACAUAAAAUGUGUGUGAAAUUUUUCAUUUUUGUUUUAAAAUUGGAGGAGAGAGGAAGAGAGAGACAAAACGUGGGAGUGGGGAGAAAGGGAGAAAUGUUUAUUUUUUAUUUUUAAAAUAUUAGAGAGAUAGAACCAUUUGUAGGUGAGGCUUAAACAAAAAUAGCAAAAUUUUGUUAUAUGAAAUUACGUCAUUGUCCUUAAAUUUUUUGUUGUAAUAGAAGACAAAAAUGUAUUUUCACCCUCUUUUGGUUGACAAAAAGGGUUUCAUUAAUAUGUGGUUUAGAUAUAGAUAAAAUACAUUGUAUUUUGUAACAAAAUCAGAGCUCAUUUGGAAGUGCUUUUAAAUGACUGAAAGUGUUUUGGUGAAAAUAUUCUUGAAACAAAUCCUUAGUCAAAAUUCAAGUGAGUCCUAGAAAAGCACACAAAGUGUUUUCUGCAAGAAGCACCAGGUGCUUCUUCCAAAAAACACUCAAAGUGCCUUUGGAAACUAAAAUCAAUUUCACCAAAAGUAGUUUUAGUCAUUUAGAAAACACUUCAAAUGGGCCCUAAAUUGAUUUCGUGUGUUUUGGUAAGAGAAAUUUACCUUACAUGUAGGUAUACAAAGGAUAAACCCAAACAUAUAUAAUUGUAUUAAGAUGUUUUAACCAAUUCUUACUGUGUUCAAUGUACACGCCACAUACAAUACACCCAACUCAUUACUGUGUUCAUUGUCUAUCGUUUUGUUUUUUUUUUUUUUUUUUUAACAAAUCGAUAUUAUCUACACUAAGGAGAUGGGGUGUCGCCUUUGGCGAGAGUUGAACCUAAGACCUCUCACUAAUCAGUGAGAAGGAAUACCACUAGACCGUAGUACUAGUGGCUCAUUGUCUAUCGUAUUUACUUCUCAAUUUGGUUUACUUCCCAAAUACAUGAGUUUUAGUGGCGGUUGUCUAUCGUGUUUACUUCUAUAUUUGGUUUCUUCUUAUCUAAUUAAUGUGAAUUGUAUGUAGUUAUUUCAAGUACAUUGUAUUUAUAUAAAAUAAAAUACAAAAUUAGCAAGGGCGGACCCUAAGAUUAUUAUAUGUCUAAGAAAUGUUUGUGAAUUUUUACAUAUGGCCUUUCGAAUUAUUUUUCCUAGAUCCGUCAUAGAAAAUUAGUAAACGAUUUCUUGUGUUUUGGUAAGAGAAAUUUACUAUAAGAUGUUUUAAUCAAAUUCAUUAUUGUGUUCAAUGUACACCCAACUCAUUAUUGUGUUCAUUUUAUACAUGGAAAAGGAUCCAACCUCUAUAUUUUCUUUAAAAUCAAUCUUCCAAAUAUGCUCAUUACAUACCAAAAAAAUUACCGAUAAGAUUCAGUGUUUUGGCAACGAAAUACAGAUCGGUCAUUCAGCCAAAUAUUUCCUUUGAAAUCAAUUUCCAAGUAUAAUCGUGGAUACACACGAACGUCUUGGCCAUCCAAAUACUAGACCCCAAGUUUCUUUCAACACCCUUUGGAACACUCCUCUUAUAAAUUCUACAUAAAUUGGAACCUAUCUUGGCCUAUUCUCACAAUUGUCCGUCUCCUUAGCGGAAAAAGAAAAUUGUCCGUGUCCUACAAUACCAAACUAUGGAUUCGAGUGCCUCAGUUCUCUUGUCCUCUCCAUCAAAGCUCGAAAACCAUCAGGAAACCAAUAGCCAUAUCCAAAAGGGAGGUAUUGCUCCUUUCAUUGACUCAUCAUAUUUGCAAAAACAAUCCCAUGUCCCCACUGGUUUCAUUUGGCCUGAAAGUCACUUGGUUGCUGCUCUUGAGGAGCUCAAUGAACCAUUGGUGGAUCUUGAGGGUUUCUUCAAGGGUGAUGCUGUGGCAACCGAGCAUGCUGCCAAACUCAUUAGGGCAUCUUGCUUGAGCCAUGGUUUUUUCCAAGUGACCAACCACGGCGUUGAUCCAAAUCUCCUCAAACUCGCUGAUGAUCACAUGGAUCAUUUCUUCAAGCUCCCCGUCGAAGAGAAAGCAAAGGUGAAAAGGGUACCUGGUAGCCCUUGGGGUUAUUCUGGGUCUCAUGCUGAUCGAUUCUCAACCAAUUUGCCAUGGAAGGAAACUUUGUCUUUUGGUUUCCAAGCGAAUGGCACCGACACAGUUGUGGCGGAUUUCUUCAAAUCCAAACUAGGCGAAGAUUUUGAACAAACAGGGUAAGUCUUAUUUAUAAAUGGUACAUGAUCAGUAGUGCUACAUGACUCACACUAAUUACGUUUGUUUUUCUUACACGUGUGGGCAGCAUUUUCUAAAUAGUAUAUUUAUAAACAAGCUGGAUGUGUUUAAUUUAGUUCUUGCAAACAAAGGGAUUUUUGAACAUUAAUCCUUGUAAAAGAUUAAAAUUUAAAAAAAAUCUGGUGCUAGAUUAAAUAUUCAAUUUAAUCCCUUGGGUGUACUUUUAUCAAAAUUUACAUUCAAUUUUUGUUAUUUAAUGUGUAUUUUUAUUUAAUCUCUCCAUAUUAAAUUUUAAUUUUAUUAAUAUGCACAUAUUUAGUUUUUUUUAAUUAGAAAUGAAUGUAAAUGAGAAAUAUUAAAAAAAAAUUGUGAUACAAAAAUAUAUAAAUACAUAAGUGUUCAUAAAUGAUUGUGCCAAAAUAUAUAAAAUUGACUUUUUGUACCGAAAUAUAUUAUAAUGAACCUAAAUGUAUGUACCGAAAUGUAUUAUAUUGAAUUAAUGUACCUAAAUGUCAAUACCGAAAUGUAUGUACCUAAAUGUCAAUACCGAAAAUGUAUGUACCUAAAUAUCAAUACCAAAAUGUAUUUACCGAAAUAUAAUAAUUGAAUUAAUGUACCUAAAAGUCAAUACUCAAAUGUGUGUACCAAAGUGUACGUAACGAAAUACAUUAUAUUGACCGAAAUGCGUUAUAUUGAAUCAAUGUAACUACAUGUUUGUACCGAUGGAUAUACAAAAAUAUUCAAAUGUAUUAAUGUACCUAAAUAAAGAACAUACAAAAUUGUUAUCGGAAUAUAUAUUAUAAAAAAAUUAGUUGCCUAAAUGUAGACAUUAAAAUAUAUUAUGAUGAAUGAAAUAAAAAUUAAAUUUAAAUGUAAUUAAUACAUUAAAAUAAAAAUAAAAGGAUAAAAUAAAACAUCAAAAUACAACUAAUAAAUGAUAUGAUUAAAUGUGCUAGGGACUAAAAUUGGAUUUUAAUCUUACAUAUGGUUAUAAUCUAAACUCAUCUUUUUUAAGGAUUAAAAUGAAAUUUUCUAUUUGUUGUAUAUAGGCUGGUCUAUCAAAAGUACUGUGAAUCAAUGAAUGUUUUGGCUCUUUCAAUAAUGGAGCUGCUUGCAAUCAGCUUGGGAGUGGAUCGGAUGCAUUACAGAGAAUUUUUUGAGGAUGCUCACUCAAUCAUGAGGUGCAACUUCUACCCGACUUGCCAAGAGCCAAGUCUUACUCUCGGAACCGGACCUCAUUGUGAUCCAACAUCCUUGACCAUACUCAAUCAAGACCAAGUUGGAGGGCUUGAUGUGUUUGUCAACAAGAAGUGGCAUUCGGUUCGACCGAUUCAAGGUGCCCUAGUCAUCAACAUUGGUGACACCUUCUCGGUACGCAUACAUGCUCUUAUAAUUGAUAAGGAAUAUCUAGAAGAGUAAUGUUAUUCAUAUCAUGUUUUUGUACCACAUUUUCAUAUCACCUUAGGUGACAUUUGAUAUGGACAGCCACAUCAUUUGAAUUAAUUAGAUUUUUAAAUUUGGUUCAUUAUUUAAUAAACUAAUAAUUAAGAAAAACUAGUUAAUUAAAUGAUGAUUAUGGUAUACGAGGAGUCUUUCUUAUUCAUUUCCUUAGGUUUUGUAAAUUUUUCAAAUGAUGUGGCAAUCUACAUCAGAUGCCACCUAAAGUGGUAUAGAAAUGUGGUACAAAAAUAUGAUAUGAAUAAUAUUACUCUAUUUAAGAUAGUAAUUAUGCUUGAGUCAUAUUGGUUUCCCCACCAAAUUUGUACGUGGCACCACUAUGGUUUCAUAGAUUAAUCAAUUUUAGGAAAAAAACUGUGGCUACUCCAACAAAAAGAAAAAAACAAGGUGUCUUUCCAUCAAUGUUCCAGAUUAUGGAUAUUAGGAAAUCUUGACGUACAAGAAUGGUAAAGGAUUGAUAUGGGGGCUAGGUUAGUGUUAACAGAAAAUACAAGAAUCCUAGUGGCUAGUGGCCGGCCCCCAUUAGCAUUUGUACAAUCUGUGAUUUUGUUGCACACACGUACACACAUGCAUAUUUUUUGUGCAAAUAUUAGGGUUUUGCAUAGGUAUAUUCUAGAAAAAAACCGAAUUAAUGAGUUUCAAUGUAUGACAUGGCAGACAAGCAAUGAGUACUCAAAGCCACUGGGAACAGGUAGUAUCAUGAUGGAUAUGUUGAGAGUAUUGAAGAAUGUAAUGAAAAUAAUAAUCAAUGCCCCAUCAAUUAACAUUAUCUAAGUAAUUGUUUGUGUAUAAAUUGUUCCCUGCAUGCACAUAUAUACUCUAUAUAAAUUUAGUUAGAUUAGGAGCUGACAUGAUUCAAAAUCAGGCCAUAACACAAGAAUUCAACAUCUUUUCAUUGUGGUAAAGGGCCAACUUGCACUAUGUAUUUUGUUCUCAUAAAGUUGAAUAGUGCUGAUUACCAAUAAUUGAAUCCGGAUCCUUGCCGGAUCCUCUUUGUGAGGAUCUUAGGAAUCCGUGAAUCGUGUCAUUUUAUCGUAUAUCGUACGGUCAGAAAUCAUUUUAAAUAUUUUUAUUUAAAAUUAAACACAAACAGUAGCUGAUAAAAAUUGACCGCAUCAAAUACGAUGAACGGACACUAUUCAUGGAUCCCUAAGAUUCUCACUAAAAGGAUCCGGAGAGGAUCCUGUUGGCCAAUAAUUAUAUAGUUUAACUAAUUUUUUAAUUAAUUAAUCGAUAUUUUAAUUAUGUUUAUAUAUAGGCAUUAUCGAAUGGGAAAUACAAGAGUUGCUUGCACAGGGCAAUGGUGAACAGGCGCAAGGAGAGGAGAUCGUUGGCAUUCUUUUUGUGCCCAAGGGAUGACAAGGUUGUGAAGCCCCCCGAGGAUCUUCUGCGCAAAGAACAAGAGACAAGAAAGUACCCGGAUUUCACAUGGUCAGAUUUGCUCCGAUUCACUCAAUACCAUUACAGGGCUGAUGAAGCUACCCUCCAAAACUUCACCAAUUGGUUCCUAUCUGAAUCCAACUCCACCAAUUAAAAUAUAUCUCCAGCUAGCUAGCAAUGGAGUAGUACACAGUUGAAGUUCUCUGGUUCUCUAGUUCUAUGAGAGGGUGCGCGCUCAUGUCAGAGAGUGAUAUUUUUAUAUUAAUCAGUGUACACAGUUGAUCGAGUUGUAAGAGUACUUAACCAAUUAUUGGUUAAGUAGCUAGGUAGUUUCAAUAAUAAAUAUUAAUGCAAAUCUUAGUUAUCAGUGAAUGCUCAUUUUUAAUUGUAUUACCAUAUGCAUGCAGGAGUUCUUCUUUUACUUUCUCUCUGUUUUUGCCUUGUAAAUAUCUCAUAGUUUGACUCAUCACAGUCGUGUUAGGUAAGAUGCAGUGUUAGGGCUGGUUUGGUAUUGCUGUGCUUUGAAAAAAAACUGUUGUGAAAAUAAGCGGAUGUGAAAUAAAUCAGCAGAGUGUUUGGUAAACUUUUUUUGUAAAAGUGCUUUUGGAAAAAAAAGCAGUCUGAUAGUGAGUAUUUUCAUUAAAUGAGCACUGUAGCUCCGUGUGCUUUGAAAAAAAAGCCAGUUUUCCAAAGUUGCAAAUAGCAGCUUCAGCUUUUUCCUUUGAUUCCAGCUUAUUCUCACAACAGCUUCCAAAAUAAACUUUUUUUUCUCAGUUUACCAAACACCUAAAACCUUCACAGUUUUUUUUCAUAGUUGCUUUUUUUUUUAAGCACCUCACUCCCAAACCACCCCUUAGUCCAUUUACUUGCACACUGACGGUGACGGUGACAGCAAAUCUCUAAAGACAAAACGGUCGUAUAUAAUCUAACUCUAGCAAGAAUCACAAAAGGAGGAAAAAGAUUGCCUCCAUGUCUCUAUUUGAAUGUACCUACACCGUGCGUACAAGUCAUUUAACGGAUAGAUAAAAGAGGAGAGCGUAAAAAUGAAAAUGAGAAUGCAUAAGUUACUCGUCAGUUAAAUAUGUUUUCACGAUUUCGAGGGAAUCCACUUGUACAUUUUACUGGGACAUGCAAAGCUUCACGAAAAAAAUAAAAACCCUGACACGAGGCUCUUUUCUUUUUUGUUUUUCUUUGCAAUAUAGGACAACCAAGAUGGACGUCGCAAGGAGGAAGCAAAUAUUUGUUAGGAGCCAAAGCUAAGGACAACCAAAACUCCCUUUAGUUUCUCAACUCAGAUGGUCUUCAGCUAGAGACCAACCAACCACAUUUGUUGGGAUCGAAAAGAGGUAGAAGGACUGCUGCAGAGGUAGGCCUAUAAAUCUGUAUGCGCGUGUUUUAAGUAUUCAAAUGUUUGUGUUUGGUAAGUUAAAACUAUCAUGCUUCAACUUGUACUUUUGUAGUUUAUAACAACUAUUUUCCCAACGAGUAAUGCAAUCAUUGGCAGAUUAUAUAUUAUAUGUUUCCAUAUAUAUGUUAAUCAACACAAAAUAUGUUUAUAUUGUCAAAAUGUGAAUAUAAACCACAUAGAAUCUAGUUUUCUUUUAACCGAAAGAACUCAAAAUCUCUGGAGGGUUAACCUAUUUAGAUAUUUAGAAUUUAGACGAUUGAUCCAAAAGUAGGUGGUGGGGCUGUUUUACCAAAUGAUCAUAUCGAAGACAGUCUUAAAAAAAAAAAUUAAAGAAAACGAGACAAAACUGGAACAUCUCCAAGUGUGAAUGUUCUUGUUAAUUAAUAAAGCUCUGUUGGAGAAGAUAACAAUUUACCGUAAUUCAAAUUCAAUUUGUUUAGCUCGUUAAAUAAUUAUUUCGUUUUUAGUUUUUAUUUUUGUGUUAGUGUAAUAAAGAAAAAUGUAAGGAAAAUGAGAGUCGAAGAAGAGUGGAUGAAUGAUAUUACGAAAAAGACAAAAGAAAAACUAAAAAGAUGAACACUAAACCAACAGCAAAAAAUUGUUUUAAGUUGUUUUCACUUUCAAUUAGUUUUUGUUUUGUUGUAAAAAAAAGUUUUUGUUUUGUUCACUCUUCCUUCUUUCUUUUCCCAUCUCCCAUCACCUUUCUUCCUCCCUUCCCCCUCUAUAUAUUUUCCUCAUAUCUCAUAAACAAAAAAUCAAAACAAAAAACUACAAAAAAAAUGGUUAUUAAACGUCUCAUGUUUUGUACUUGGUAGGAAAUACAUAAUGCAUGCAUUUAUAAAUUGGACCCCUUAAUUAUGUUUAUGUUUAUGUUUGCCGACCGAUACAAAAAUAUAUACGUUAGUCCGUGUUUCAAUGAAGAAGAAAAUAGUAGCUCGGCCCCCACCGAUGGCAAUACAAGUAUUGAUCCCUUUAUAAGUGGACUAAUAUUAUAUUCCCCAUUGAAAACAACUUGGUCCUAGAAGUGGUGCAAUAUUGGAUUAGCUAACAAGUAGUAGUACGUACAAAUAAACGCAGAUUAUGGACUGAUCAAUCGGGCCAAGUCAAUAAUUCAGAGGCCACUAACAGCUUGGAUUUUGGUUCUUUAAAAGAAGGGCAGCAACGUGCAUGAUUUCAUUUCUGUCUAGCAGGUUUGUCAGCAGGUUAGACAAAUAUUUGGGACCCUUGGUAUCAAAUUUGCCCAGCAGAGGUGUAAUCAUAAAUUUCCUAAAGUCAUCGAUUUGUUCUACAUUUCUCUAGAUUGAUCCGGACACUUAUUACAGCAGUUUUGGAUUGAAUUGAAAUACUGAAAUUUUGGAUAAAGAAAUUUACACAGAUUGCACAAGUGAUGUGAAGUGAUCAACCUUCUAGAUGAAGCAUGUGCAUCAGAUUAUAUUAACGUCACACUAGAAAGUAGGGACCAAGUUUUGUUUUUCUUUCUUGUUUUUUUGUUUGUUUUUUUCAUUUUUUGGUCCGGAGGGACAAAGACUGUUAACAGAGUAAAACAGAAGGUCCAAAUUGGUCAAAUAUUUUAGUAAAGCAAAAAGAUAUAAAAUUGGUAUUUAACUGAGAAGAUACGUAAUUAAGUAGUUAACAUAUAUUUUCCGUGCAAAGAUAUAUAUUUAACCUUGUUUUUGGAGGCACUCAAAAGUUUCAAAUUUUGUUGGUUGACAACAGGGCAUAAGCCCGAAAGAAAAGGAAAAAUUACAUAAGAAUAUUACGAGGCCACGAGACCUCACUUAUAUCUAUAACUAGCAAUUGAUGACAAGAAGGAAGAGCUUACGAAUUUUACAAUAAGGGUACGACAAUUCAAUAAUAAACUUCCUAGAAGGUGAUUAUCCACUUUUGCAUUUGAAAUCAAUUGUACUGCAAGCACAUAAGAUCUCACCUUGACCAGGAUUAGAAUAAAAGCCAUAAACCUACCUCGACGUGUUUCUAACGUCACCACCAACAUCAAUGAAAUUGGCCAUCUCUUGUGACGCCCAUAACAUUAAGCUUUAUCCAACCCUCAGGAGGAGAUUCCCAAUAAAGAAAACAUGUGUUCGAAUGGGCAUUAUGGAGGAAACCAUCUUCCUUUGAAGCCAAUCUUUCAAGUAGGCAAUAAUAAUAGAUUUGGAUCAUUAUGGAGAGCAAAAUCAUGUUCAAAAAUACUUUAAUUUGUUUCGUCAGGGCAACAAGAACCAACAAAUGAUACAAAAAAUAAGCCUCUAUUCCAAAUUAUCCAAGACUAAUGUUUUGGAAGAGAAAUUAUUUUGGAAUCAAUUAGUAGUACAUGCAUCGGUAAAAAUUGAUCAGGAAACAGGAAAACUUCUCCAAACCUUAGCAACAAAGGAGCAAUCUCUAAAGAAGUGAAUAAUUGGUUCAAAAGCAACAUCAUAUCUGCCGCCAUGAAGAAUCCGUAGUCAACCCCGUCUAACUCGUAGAGCAUUGGUUAAUAAUUUGUCUAGCAACACAAGACAAAGAUAGGAGGAAGAUGCACACCCAGAUAAAGCUCCAUCGCCACUUAGUAUUUAUAUUACCGUUUAGAUCUAACAUAUAGGCAAACUUCACAAUUAAAUUACUAUCAUUAAUUGGUCUCUAUAUACAAUUAUCUGAUGAGCCACCAAUUUUAUCCACAAGUAUUAUUAAAGCACUAUGCAAGUCUUUGGAGGAACUUCAUAUUUUUCUGCCAAUGAGGUGUUGUGCCUAAAGAAAAAACUUAGAGACUGUUCACUUUUAACGAAAAUGACAUUUUUACUCUAAAAAGUUACUCAUAGUAUUAUUCACUUACAACAUCUUUUUGUUAUUUUGAUUAAAACUCAAAAUUUUCAAGUAAUUUCCAUUAGUUUUCUUAAUUUUAUAUAUUUUGCCAACCAACCAAAGUACACUGAUGUUCAGCCCACCUAAUCUUUGUUUUAGGCUUAAUUUGUAUGUAAGUUCCAUUUUUCUCCUUGAAGUUGCAACUUUGUGAGUUUAUUUUUUUGUUUUCACUGAUUUUGUCAUGUCAUCCAUUUCAUUAAGUUGAUCAAGAAAUGGUUAAAUUAGCUGAUGUGAAACUGACCAAAAAACCAAUGUCUUUUCUUUGACACAAAGCGAUAGGCAUAUUUCAUUAAUAAAGAUUAAGCCCAUGAACUUAUUAUUUUAGGUCGGAACAAAUUGAUAUGAUCCUCUUUUUUACGUCUUCAUGUCUCCUAAGAACAUAUUAGGUACAAUAUGGUGCAAAAAGAGUACAUCUUAUUUAUUUAUUUAUUUUCAGUUUUGACAAAAAAUAUGGCAUUUUCUUCAAUUAUUAUUUUUUUAAUUUGGAGAGUAAUUCGCAUCAUAAAUUAGCAAAAGAUGAUAGACGCAACAGAUUCAACACUAAAACACACAUAAAACCAUCCUCAAAAUAAGAGAUCACAUCAAUUCAACGAGCAAGAUAGAAACCACCAAUCAACUCAUUUCACACUAACUACAUUGUUUGUAGUCUUGUAGAUAGAUAAUUCCUUUAUGAACUCAUUUAUUUAACUAAGAUAAUUCCCUUUCGACUCUAGCCACCCACAUACAUUUUAUAUAAAGGAUUGUGCUAUCCACACAUCUCAUUUUACUUCUCACACAUUCUUGAUAAUUUAUGUCCAUUGAUCUUCUUCAAUUCAUCUGAUCCGACGGUCGAAAAUUAAAAAGGUAUGUGAGAAGUAAAAUAAAAUGUGUGGAUAUCACACCCCUUAUAUAAAAUAUGAUUCAUUGCUCUAAAUCCUUUUUAUUUUUGGAUAUAGCUGGUUCUUCAAAGAAUUCCAAAAGCCAAAUUUUUGUUCUAGUAUUUCCGUCUCUCGUGCUUCAUAAGAGCAACUCCAGCCUUGCUGGUUGCUCGGGCGUCAGGCGAGGAGAAAGGGCCCUCGGGCCGGUGGGAGCAAAUCCAGCGGGGAAGGGCCCGAGUGAGGGUGGGAGGUCGAGCGAAGGGGGGGGUGGGGAGUCGACGGGCCUGUGGCCCGAGGGUUUUGUAUUUUUGUAUUUUUUUUGUGUCAGAGAGAGAGAGAGAUAGCUUUUGUAAUUUUUUAUUAUUUAAACAAACAUACAAAACUAUUAUUUUUAUUGCUUAUUGCCAGGGGGGAGGGUUCUAAGGGUGGAGAUGUAAAUGGCAAUUACUGUUCAUUAAUGGUAAUUACUAUUCAUUUAAGACAGUUACUGUUCAAUAGGGUGGAUUGAAUAGUGGAUUGCCAGGGGGAGGGCUCCAUGGAUGGAGUUGCUCUAACAAGUGUUUACUUUAGAGGGUUGUUGACUUCCUCCAAUAAUGGUUGGUAACUUGGGUUAAGUUAAAUAGUAAUUGUGCUUCCUCUUAAUAAAUUGGUAGUCUCGAUCCUUGUAGAGAACCAGUUACAUUUUCUAUUUUAUUAUAGGGAAGUGUUAUCCACACAUCUCUUUUACUUCUCACACACAUUUUUUUUAUUUUUGUCAUUUAAUCUUCUUCAAUUCAUUCAAUCUGAUGGCCAAAAAUUAAAAAGAUACUUAAGAAAUAAAAAGAGAUGUGUAGAUAUCACAUCUCUUAUUAUAUCAGCGUCUCCAAACACCUGAAUUCAUUACAGUAUUUGUUGUAUUGUGUAUGGUUUUCAUACAAAUCACGGUAUGUGAAUCUUCUUUGGGUUUAUCUUGGAAAGUCAAUUAAUUUUAAAGUUUAUUUAUAUACAACAAUAGCAACAAUUAAACUUUAUCUCACUAAAUAUGAUUAUGAAUCCUGGAAUGCUAUUACACUCAAUUUUACGCCAAGUCUUUUAUUAGCUCUAAAUAAUCUAUAUCUUUUAUUAUAGUUUCUUUCAAAGUCUUCUUAGGUUUUUUUAUAUCCCUUUUACCCUAAGAUUCCCUCGCACAGCCGCAUCUUCUAACCCGAGCAUCUGUAGGUCUUCGGUUUACGUGUCCAAAUCAUCUUAACCAAUUUUCUCUCAUUUUGUCUUCAAUUACGGCCACUCCUACUUUAACUCGGAUAUCCUCAUUCUUAAUCAUAUUAUUUCUUGUGUGCUUACAUAUCCAACAAAGCAUCCUCAUCUCCGUUGCAUUUUCCUUCAUACUCCUAAUCCAAUUGUGACAUAACGUUCUGAAAUUUAUUGUAUUUUAUUCUUAGUAGUAGUGAAAUUAUCAAAUUGCCCAUGAGAUGCCGCAUAAGCCUUCCACACAACCUUAAUUUUUCCUUCACUUUUUCACUCUUAUUUUACUAUUUUUAAAUACUACUUAUUUUUACAAACGUGUAGGUAUAAGCAGAACUUAAUUCGAAGUUGUGACGAACUCGUUAUGUUCAAAACUAAGUAAAAUUACCGGGAUAAUUUCAAAACUUGUACUGUGGCUUCCGGCAGUAGGCUGCCUCAGUCUUGUCUAUCUGAUAACCCUGGUGCAGACUAAAUGCAUGGGUUUGAAAAAUUGAACAUCACAUGGGUUGUGGACAAGUGUGCUAUUAAAAUAAUAUUUCUUUUGGAUUUUGAAAACCCACACUUGUUCCAUCACACACAUCACCAUAAUUUUCUUCCUUUUUUUGGCCGGUCUCUCAUUCUCUCACCCGUUGCUUUCUUUCUCCCUGAAACCGGAUCCUCUCCGGAUCCAAAUAAAUUGAGUUUUCUGAGCAAAUGAUUACUAUUAAAAUUUGAUUCAACAAUUAUAAUUAUUAUAAUUUUUUGAGAAUUCCUUUUUUAGCUAUUUAAUCAAAUUUUAACGAUUCAGAUCAUUAGCUCAGAUGAUUCAACUUAUUUGGGUCCGGAAGGGAUCCGGUUCCUCUCUCUCCCCUCUCUCACGUCACAUCUCUCACUCUUCCCCUUUUCACUUCAUUCACUCACUCACAAGUUCACAACCCUCUCUGUCUCUCUCUACCCACUCACUCAACAAUUAAUUUCCACUUUCAUUUCACUCAUCUGUCUCAACCUCUCUCCAUUGCACUUCCUCAUUUUUCUGAAAACCUCACUCUCUCUAAACCCGAGAGAAGAGAGCUCUCACUCUCCCACUUACCUUCACAACUAAGCCCUAUUUUCUACAUAUUCGAAGUCUGUGGGAUGCAAGGAUCACAUUGGUGGUCUUGCAUGUGAGAUCGCUGCAGUGAGGACCUCGGCACCAUUGAAGAUGAGAGCUCCAUAGCUCUCAAAGCUUGAACCCAGUUGAACUAUGCCUUCUUCUCUAAAUUUCUGGGUUUAUGGAUGAUAUUUUAACCUAUGUGAUGGUGAAUUAUAUGUUUAAAUUGAAGGUUUACUCUCUAUCAGCAUCUGUGCUUCGAACUCAUCCCCGACGAUGAACUCCGGCUAAAUGCCGUCGAGUUCAAAGUUGGUGGGUGUUCCCAACACAUCAAAUCUCUCCCUCUAUGUCUCUGUGAUAGAUUGGGUAAAUUGUUGAACUCAAUCUCAAGCUCUAACCCCUGCAUGCAUGUUUAUACUCUUUUCCCCAGUUUCCGGCGAAGGACCGCGGAAUUGCAGGCCAUUUUCGGCUAGUUUUGGACACAAAUCAUGUACCACUUAGGUAUAGUUUUGUUCCUUACCUCUUGAUCUUCAUUUUGGCUUUUGAAUCUUUGAAUUUGGUUGAGAAAUGAACCCGUUAUGACCAUUUGAAGUUUCCCGGCCAAAUCGUCAUCCGGCUGCCGCAGCGGAAACCGGCCGGAGAAGAAGAAAAAAAGAAAGAAGGGAAGCCCAGAUCCGCGACCCGGAUCCGUAUCCGAACCCGAAAUCCGGCCCGGCCAGGUUCUAAAAUGCAUAUGGAAUAUUCCCUGGAUUAUUCUUUAGAAUAUUCUGUGUAGAUUUUUUACAAAAUUUGCUCGGAUCCCUCUUAUUAGCGUAUUUAGAUAUUCUGAUUCUAAAUCCGAGCACUCCGUUUCCUCAAAUUUGACCGUUUACGUUGAUUAGAGACUUCGACUUUCUUUAGCUUGAAAGGAUGUGACAUCGCAAGGAUAUGUGAAUGGGUCUUUCGUUUAUAUAUAUAUAUAUAUAUAUGUAUGUGUCAAUUGCUUUCAUUACUAUGAUGUGACAUGUUAUGCUUGGUUUACGAAUAGAUUUUUCGUACUUUAUGUUUUGAAUAUUAUUUGUGAGCAUAAACUUGUGACAUGACAUUUCUGCAUUUUAUUUGCUCAGUUUUACAUGUAUGCACGGUGUUUCUUAACUAUUUGUACUGUCUUGGGACAAGGACUAGCUUCACGGGGAAUUCACAUGUAUCGUUUACUUUCACUUUGGAUCCAUAGUUUGGGGUCAGACUGUCAUUUUGUGUGAUGUUUUGGACUCGUAUGUAAUGUAAUUAGCGCAACUCACAUGAUGUAGAAUUAGAAUGUAAAACCUAUCCCUAGGCUGUUCCAUUGUUUGAAUAUCUCUCUAGUGGACUUGUGUGCCUGCAUAAAUUAAUGAGCAUUGAUUUCUUAUAAUAAUAGUUUGAGAUUUAAUGUUCAGAUACCUUGUUGUAUCCUACAUCUUUGACUCACUUCUGUUGCAGGAUAUUUAUUACAUAUUAUUAUUAUAAUAUUUUUUAGAAACUAUAUACUUGUUUUUACACUUUUCGAAAAUUUUUUACAAAACUUUAUUUUUAUGCCUACCCACUCUUGUUUCCACCCCCCCUCCAGGAUUUUUAGUGGUGGAGGUUUCGUGACGACAAUAAUUGUUGAUAAAAGUUGUUUGGUAUGAGACUUCUCCGUUCGAUAUAAAUGUUCUUACUCUUCUUUUAUUGCAAAUUAUUUAUGCUCUAACAUCAUUUGUGUGAUAUGGGUUCAAUUCCUCUCACAUGCGCAUUUUAAAUUAGUCGCUUUUAAGUUUUAACUUAUUCAGAUUUUCUACAUUAUUACACUUUUAAGAUUUUUUUAUCUUUCAGGUGUUUAGGUGGAUAUUCUGGGUCCGGUGUGUCAACCAAGGCCUGCUUAUUUGAUCCCUUUGUCCUGUCAAAAUGUAAAAACUGUUUAAUCAUGGCCCGUUGGUUCUUUUAUUUUAUUCAAUCCAAUUAUUAAAAAUAAAAAUAAAAUAUGAGAAGUUCAAAGGGAUGCGUUAGAAUCAUUUUCCAAAAUUUGAAUUAGUUAAUUCUUAAUGCUCAAUUAGGAAAAACCCUGGUGUUACAUAAUUGUUUGAUUUUGAUGAUUCAUUUUUAAGUUAAGUGUGCAUAAAUAAAUAAAUAAAACAAAGAACGUAGUUUGAGAAGGGGUGAAAAAAAAAAGUCCAUGGGAUACAAAUCAUUAAGUACAACUUUUUUUCCAUUCACUAUAAAGUUACAUUUACUCCAAACUAUACAAGGUAAUUAAAAUUAAUUAACUGAUAGAUAUCACUCCAUCGAACAUUAGGCAAAACAAGCACACAAACACCCACAAUAAAAUUAUAAAACAGACCUGUUCACUGGCACAAUCAUCUCCCACCAUUAACUGGUAAUGCGACGUGGUUCCUCAUUGUAUCAUACCCUAAACCUGAAUCGCCACCUCCUUCAUAACUAAUAGUUUCCAUUGAUAUUCCACCAAGCAAGUGCUGAGUCUCUUCUGAAAUGAAUUCAUCAUUCACCCAUGGAUGCAAUACCAUCCUUCUCAGUCCCUCUAGUUCCAUAGCAACUUCCUGCAUCGUUGGUCUUUCUUCCCCUUUUACUCUCAAACACCUCAUUGCAAGUUUAGAAACUUCUUUAAGCUGCUCAAUGUUUGCCUCAGUCACAAUCCAAUCAUCUAGAACUUGCAGCAAUCGGUCAUCUUUCAAUGCUGACAGAAAAUACAUAGCCAAAUUUAUCUUUUCCUGCGGCUUGUCAAAGAAAACCGCCUUCUUUCUUGUCAAUAGCUCUACGAGGACAACCCCGAAACUAUAGACAUCGCUUUUCUCAGUCAAUUGGCUUGUCUGCAUGUAUUCGGGGUCUAAAUACCCCAUAGUUCCUUGCACCAUUGUGGACAACUGAUCUUGGCCUAACGGAACCAAUCUCGAGGCUCCAAAGUCAGACACUUUGGCUGUGAGGUUUUCAUCUAAGAGUAUGUUUGUAGACUUGACAUCUCUGUGAAUGAUAGGAACAGAAGCCGCAGAGUGCAAGUAUGACAGCACUCCAGCUGUUUCUGAAGCUAUCUUUAGAUGGAUUUCCCACGAGGUGUUUGGUUUGGAUUCCUUGGUUGUAUUAUGGAUGUAGUCAGAGAGUGUUCCAUUUGUUACAUACUCAUAGACUAGCAGUGGAACUUGUGUCUCGAAACAACAACCUAAAAGCUUAACCACAUUCCUAUGGUUGAUCUGUGAAAGCACCAGUACCUCAUUUAUGAAUUGCUCUAUUUGGCUUUGAUCCAUCAUUUUGGACUUCUUGAUAGCAACCACUCGGCCGUCUACUAAAAUUCCUUUGUACACUGUACCGGAACCUCCUCUGCCAAUGAUUUUAGACUCAUUGUAAUUAUUUGUGGCCUUCUCAAGUUCUUCUGCUGUGAAGAUUUUGGCUGUUUCGCGAGUGGAUCCCUGUCGUUCUGAAAGUUGUUGUUGUAGCAUUAGUCCUCCAUUUUGCCUGAAGAACUUCUCCUUCAGCCUUAUGAGCUUCCAUCUUUUGUAGCCCAAAUACAACCAAGAGCUUCCCAUUAGCAAGGCUAUGAGGCCAACCCCGAUUCCUACAUUGCCAACAAAUUAAGUAUGAAUUAUAACAUCUAUGUGCAAGGCUUCCAUUGUUUAUUAAGAAAAUUAAACGCAUCAUCAUUAACUUAUUAAUAUUUUCAACAUAAUGUGUUGCUACGUUUUGUUGACUGCAACAAAUAUAUAUCUUCGUACUUACCAAUGAUAAUCUGAAUAUGUAAUGUUGGUUUAUGGGUGCAACCUUCUCCGUCUACUCUACCAUCGCCAUAGUACCCCUUGCGGCAAGAACAAGCAUAGCUUCCAUCUGUAUUAGUACAUAUCUGUUCGCAGUUAUUGAGUUUUGCAUCCUCACAUUCAUUAAUGUCUGCAAAAAUAACAUGACCCAUAAUUUUCAGAAAGCAAGUUGUAUUAAUUAGUAGUAGUCCUACAGUUUUGAAAGCAAAUUAAUGACAAUACAAAGACGAAAGAUAUACAAAAAACAAGCUUAAGCUAGGAAAAUUACCAUGGCAUCCCUCAAGGUAUGGAUUCCCUCGGUAACCGUUUUGGCACUCGCAGCGAUAACCCCCACCAUUCUUGACAUCGAUACAUGUUUCGUUCCCAUGACAUGCGUAAUUCAUCACUUGUUUGUUUCCAACAACCUUGCUGCAUGUCUCAUUCCCAAUUGACCAAUCUAGAACCACCGGAAGCUCUUCCACGUCGUUCAAAUCGGUCAGCAGAUUCGAAGAGAAGUUGAACUUGCUCUGUUCGACAACAAAGGCAUAGCUGCAGGGAUUGAAGUCCCACACACCCUUGUGAUUAUUAUAACUAUUCACGCUUAUUUGAUAAUAAUCCGUAUUUUUAGCGAUCGAUGUUUGGCAACAGCCUACACCGGAGCACGAAUCAUUGGCAACAAAAUUAAUGCUGUCACAUUUUGUAAUGCACCCACCUGUGUACCCAUAAUCUUCUCCUUGGAAAACCACAAUUUCAGCGGUGGUGUCGCAACCAACCACCACAAACACGUUAUCGGUGUCAGAUAUGAAGAAGUUGGGCAGUUGGAUAUAAGGAGUGUUGCUUUCCGUGGACACACCUGAUUCGUUGUAACAAUCUUUGGCUAUAUAUUGUAGAAUAUGCAGCUUCCCGUCGACAGAUAUGUUUGUGACGUCAAUGUUACUAUCUCCAAGAAAUGGCUUUGGAGGGUUGUAGUGUGUGUCAUUGCAAGUAAUAAGGAAAUCCUCGUUGUAGUAACAAUCUGGGGUUGUACCAAAUGGAUAUGGGAUGCUAACAUUCCCACAUUUGGCUUGGCAACCCGGCUUGACUCCAACUUGAUCAAGGGGCGGAGACGACGGAGGAGGAGGGAUGAAUUGUGUGGCUUGGGAUGAAGUGGCUGCUGCUAGUAGCAGUAGCUCUAUUAAGGUGAGUUGCAUGAGCAUUAAUGUUUGUGUGUUCGGAACCACACUGGUGCCCGCUGAACUCUUUGAAGAUUUUCUGCUGUUUUGCAGGUUCAUCAGACUCGUGCUAUUUAUGAAAUUUUUUGAGGUGUUGGUUUGUUUCUGAAAUGAGAUAUCCAUUUGGUCCUUUUGUUGAUAGAUCAUAGCCAGAUAGGAAGAAGACCGACUAUUUCCCGGAGACUGGACUUUGUGAAUUUCGUUAAGCCAUCCAUCCUAAUCAGUGAUCACAAAAGACAAUUAUUAUAUGAUCAUACAAUUGGGUCUAGUGGUCCUCCUUUUUUUUUUCUUCUUAUUUGUUCUUUUUAGAGAAAUGUUAACUAACUUUUUCAAAACUGAAAUUUUUUAUAGACUCUCUACCAUCUUUUUUUGUGUGCACAAUAUUUUAUAAUAUUGACACAGAAAUUAGCAAAAAGUCCAUAAAAAGUUUCACUUUUGAGAGAAUACCCUUAGCGUUUCUCUUUCUUUUUAACGUGUGACGGAAAGAUACGACUAGUCACAUGUAUAACUCAACGACAACCAGUUCCAUUCCAGUUCGCACUAACUUUCCACGAAGAAUCUUUGCCACAAAUGUGAAUCGGAUCAGUAAAGGAGAAAAUGCCACCAACGAUAUGAAGAAGAUGGAAAAGAAAAAAAAAGAAUGUUCGGUGAUGAGUCUGCUGUCAUGAUGACUAUUAUAUUAUGGUGUGAAUCUUCCAAAUGUUUUUUUUUUUUUAAGAAAAACAAAUGAAAAUGACUUGAAAACUUUGAGUUUUAACAAAAAUGAUAAAAAGAUGUUGUAAGUGAAUAGUACCAAGAUUGACUUUUUAGAGUAAAAAUAUGAUUUUUCGUUAAAGUGAACAAUAUCAUAAGCUAUUCGUUAAAGUUUCUUUUUUUUAGUGAAUCAUCUCGUGCCUCAUUGUUGUUAAGAAAAUAUUUCAAGCGAUUAUAUUUUCCAAUUAUAUCAAUUGAUUGUACGCAUUUGAUGUGUUUUUUCUUUUUUUUAAGAAUGAAUCUUUCAUUAAUAAAUUUUUUUUUUUUGCAUUGGCUUAAAUGUUGGGUUAUUAUUUUCAUUUUGCCAAUUGAUUUAAUAGUAAAACCUCAACUUUCUUCAUGGUAUCAUAGUAGGUUGUCUCGCGUGUGAAGCCUAACGGCCACACAUGCUCCACGACUGCUUUGUGUUGUUCACGUGCUAUGCUUAAAAAAUUAAUUUAAACUACUUUCUAUAUUACUAAUUAGUUUUAUAGUAAAUCUUCAACUUCCUUCAUUUUUAUUAUAUUAAUUGAUUAUAAUGGACACAUUAUUAGCACGGCAAGAUAUAUGAUCUUUAGAAUUACUCUUGUCGUUGUCUUUGAUUUUUCAUGGAAACUCAUCGUCCAUAUCAAAGACACGUGGAUAGAAUUUUCUCGGUGUACAUGUUCCGUGGAAAGUUGGUUUUAAAGAAUCGUUGGACUUAACUUCGUACAUUUUGUCUUUGAACAAAAUAACAAACUUCAUACUUUGUCCAUACAGUGACUUUGCAGUCAGCCACCGGAGCUGUUGCUAUCUUACAAAUCUUACCAGUUCAAACCCCUUUGGAUAUCCUUGGAUGGAUUUUGAAAUGUAGUUUUCCACCUUUUGUUUUUUUGGCUUUUUAGCUAAAAGGAUUCUCAAGACUGAUAUAACUUCUCAUUUUGAUCUCUGACAAAGAAAAUUGAUAGCAUUUCCCUGAGUUUGUUUAUCGUAAAUCAUCUUGAUAUUUCCGUGAAAAAUUUAUCAAAUAUCCUCGUUAAAUUGUCACAUGAACUACUACGUGACCACCAUUUUAAGGAUAUUUUUGUUAAAACAACUCCUCCACUUAACAAAAACAUUGUAGACUUUCCUUGUUUUUUCCUAACAUUUUGGUGUUUCUCAACAUGUUUUGUAGAUUUAGACCUACCAAGUUUUGGUUUAGAGGGGCUAGGAAUUAGGUUUUAUGUCCUCAAUCUCUAUUUCUCUUUUGUUUUCUUUCUUCUUUAUUAUGUGGGGUAAAAUUUAUGUCCCUGAUUAGAAACUUGUUUUUUUUUAAUAUUAUUUCCUUAGCUCGUAAUUAAGUACGAAAAGUAAAAACAAUAAAAAUAUAAUUUUUACCAAUAAGCUCGCAAAAGCUAUGUUAUAACUCUUGAGUUUUGAAGAAUCUUGUUAGCAUUCGUUCGUUGAGAAAUUUAUGACCGUAAACUUGUUUCAGAGAACGUCGAAGGAAGCUGGGAUCCUCCUCUGCAGACUGCCGUGGAUUGAACACAAAUUCUCUCUUGGUCAUGAUACUAACAAGUGACCAAGAAAUGUAUGGUUACUUACUCUUGGAUUUGUUAUUAAUGGUGGAUAAUAUAUGGACGUGCUUUACUAUUUUAAUUUCAACUCUUAAUAUCAAAAUCAAGAAUGCAUAUGACCAUGAAUCAUUGGUCACCAAAUAACUAAAAGAACAAGAGUCUACCAUUGAACAAACCGCGGUAACUAGCACUGCAGAUAUAAUUUUGUGUGUUUUUCAUUUGGUACGUAUUAUUUUUACACAUACCUUACGCCCCUAUAUACAUAUGUCAAAGCACUUUAGCCAAAUUAAAAUCAUAUGUUAGGAAUAACUAUUCAAGGAUUUAUAAUUCUUGACCAAAUAUUCUACAAACAUUCUCAACUCUGAAAUCUAAAACUAAUUUCAUUCAGCAUAUAAGACCACAUUUGUGUUUCUUUACACAGAUAUACAUAAAACAAGAUAUCUUGUAUGUGCACCUAUAUGAAUUAACACCAGCACGCAACCCCCCGCUGCUCCCCGCUCCCUGCGCCCGCCAACCUUCAUAUCGUAACUUGAGGUUUUUUAACUAGUUCCAGUCUGCCACGGUCCUAUGGAAGCUGGGAUAGCUUGGACAUCCUGCCGUGCAGCAAUUGUUUGUAGGAAAAAAGACUUAAGGUUAUAUAACUCCAAAUGGUUUCAAUCCCUGCCGCAACCACCUAAUUUAGCAUCCUCAUCCUGCAACCACAAAUGAAUGGAAAGCUAUGUUAUAACUAUGGAGUUUUUCGGAAACUUGUUAGCAUUCUUUGAGAAAUUUCUGACCGUACUUUCAGAGAAUGUCAAAGGAUGCUCCUCCUCUGCCGUCUCUCUUUGAUCAGACCAGCCUGUGAAACCAGUCUCAGUUUUUGAGUUUCGCCUACUAGAUUCCUCAAGUGAGCUCUCAUUGUGUAUUUCUUGGUACAAGUGUUUCAAUAUGAAAAGGGCAGUAUCAUAAUCCCUCCAAUAGUUUCUGCACAACAAGACUCAGUUAAGCUUUUAAAUGAAAACGAGGAACAUUCUGGUAGCAGAUAAAGGCAAGAAGAGCUGAAUUAAUAUGGUCGUUAAACAAUUGCAAGAAAAAUCUCAGCAACUAAAUAAACAAAUAUGGCUUAGGCAUACACGACAAUUUGCGUCAACAGUUUACAGUAGUAAUAGUUCACUUGAUAACAAAUGAUGGAUAACAAUUCUAAUUGCAUGUAUGAGGAAACAUUUGAAGUGAGUACGUACGUAUGUGCCCCAAUUGCAGAAAGAUACGGAUGUUCAAAUGUCUUAUCCUGCAUGAUCAACAAAAAAUCUCACUGAGGAAUCAAAGAAAUGAGCUGGUACUAAUGGCAUAAGGUCAGUAAUUGUUAUGUGUCUAACUGAGUAAAAGUAACAAGGCUAUAAGGCAAGCAGUUGCAGGCAUAUUUUUGAAAGGAAAAUAAAUGAGACUCAGGUAUGCACAGGUACGAGUGUGCACAAGUGUGAAUUCUUGUGUGUCUGUGUAUGUCUGUGGAGUGAAUGAGGUAGUGGGCAUAUGUACGCACUUGAAGCACAUGAUCAAUCCGCCCUUCUUCACUUCCUGUUACUCUUUCCAUCAUACCAGAGCCAUAUGAUCUCUCUUCCAUUUCUGGGGCUGUUUCUGCUGCUUCUACCAUGUAACAAAAUUAACAAAUAUAAGAAAUAUGUAGGAGCUUUAUGAAAGAUGUGACGGAAAAGAAACUGUAUUGAAUUAUGUUUUCAUAUUUAGGGCCUAGGGUCGUUUAUACUUCCAAACCCCAGACUGUUCUUUCUUUUUUCUAUAUGAAAACAAGAUCACUACAGAGGACCACUUUUGUUAAAAAUUUGUUCUCUGAUAUCCGUAUCAUUAAGAAGAGGAGGAUACAGAGUGAAGGAUCAAAAGACAAAAUAUACUACCUUCUAGGCUGUCUGCAUUUCUUGACUGGCAAACUGUCAGCACUUUAAUCUGUGUUCAAACGUAUAACAAAACCUUGAUAUUAGAAUAACUUCUAACAUAAUAUAGGAACCAAAGCAUGGAGGGUUUCAAUUCAAACCACUCAUCCUUGCAGAGUCUCAUAUUACGAUUUUUUUUUUUUUUUUGUCGCAACUUGAACUUAUAAAUAAGAGGUCGCACUUGGUGCGAUGGCAAGUGCCUUCGCCCAUAACGGUAGGUCUCGGGUUCGAGACUUGGGAGCAGCCUCUCCAUAAAAUGGGGUAAGGCUAGCCGACAUUCACCUCUUCCAGACCCUGCGUAAAGCGGGAGCCUUGUGCACUGGGUACGACCUUUUAACUUGAACUUAUAAAUAACCUAUAAGUUGACACUCAACCUUGAAACUUAAAAAACUAAUUUGGACAGAGAAAGGGGAUUCACAUAUUCAAAGUUCAAAACCCUAGUUUACUUAAAAGAGUAUCUUAACGUACAUACAAUUAGUAUAGAUGCAGCUGAUGUACGCCUAUAACAGAUUAGAAAGUUAUAUCAACUUCUAGGAGUCUAACCACGCCCACCUUUACGAAGUUUAGACGAUCCAUCAUUGCUUGAGAACGAGCAGCUAAAUCUUCAGUAAAUUCCUGCAUCACAGCAGUGCACGAGUGUGAGAGAGAGAGAGAGAGAGAACGCGUGCGUGUAUGGGUGGGGGAGGGCGGAAGAGAGAGAGCUAAGGUAGGCGAUCCACAAUCAUGUAUGUUAAAAAUGCUUUACCUGAAAUCCAAUAUGCAACCUCUUUCCACCUUUGUGAUAGGGUAUGAUAACAGGUCGCUUGCUGAGGUAUUCUUUACACACAAGUGGUUCUAUCCUGCAUUUCAAUAUGAAAAAAGUUCUAUCAUGUGCUGUGCUCCUAGAUCAACAAACAAGACAACACGAAAAGAUAAAGCAAUACGAGCGAUAAACAUAAAGUUGUUAUAUGUAUAUAUAAGAAUUUCCAGAUUAUAUCAUUAAAUAUUUUGCACUUUCAGCAAACUAAGUGGAAUCUAUUCAACAAAAGGUAUCAUGUCAUGCACCGUAUGCACCACAUCCCUCAGAGAAAUGAUGCGGUAAUUCUUCAACUCAAAUUGGAUUUCAUAUUAAAUACUAGCAUCACGAGAGCUGGAUUGCAACAGACCUAUAUGCAACGGGAUCAAAGGGAUGAAAUAUAUUGAACAUCUGCCGACAGGCUGGCAUCUCCUCACUUAUAUUUUCCUCUUCCCAAUAUUCUGUCCCCUUUCCUGAAAAUGAAAUGAUACCAUAUAUUAAAUUCAGAUUUAGGUCUCACAUCAAAAGCAAAAACAAGCAUAUCUAAAAAUAAAUCUCCUGGCAGAUCUUAAAUUUAUUGAAGAGGGAAAGAUAUACAAAGUGAGUAGACAAAUGCACAAAGCAACAAAACACCUUAAACACAGAUCCCCACCAGCAUACCGAUAUGCAGUAGAAAAAUGACAUGUAUUAUUUCAAUUACAGAAAAAACCCACUCAGCAGAAUCAGCGCAGAUGUCACCAAACACCAAUAGACAUGGUAACAAAAUUAAAUUGUUAAGAGCCCAAUAUAACUGGACACAGCAUGCAUGUGCCUCGAAAUUGUAUAAGCAUACAAGAGCAUCAAAAGAUCCUUCAUAGAGAAAAUUUAGGAAUUUGGGUGAUCCAACUGCAAAGAAUGAAAAGCAUCAACAUGCAAAGCAUAUUAACACAUAAUCAUCGAUCAUUACCAAUCCCAAUACGAAUAUUACGAAGGGCAAGAAAAACCCCAAGGGGUGAUCCAACUGCAAAGAAUGUAUCAACCUGAAAUAUGAAGAUUUACAAUUAAUGAGUGGCGAAAUCCAAAACAAACUAUUUCUCCUGUUUGCAUUCAUAGAAAUAUGAAAGAAUCCAAGCCGUAUUUUUUUAGAUACAAAAAUUCAAAAUUUUAAUUUGGCAAAUGCUACUGUCAAAAUGGAAGAAGGAUAUACAACAAAUGGACAACUUUCUUGCACCUUGAAUUCAAGUUUUGUGUAUGUGAUAUAAGGGGUAUAAUUCUUGGGUGAACCAUCUUGUGCAACAGGCAAUUCCACAGAAAUGGGUUGCUUUGCCACAGUUGCAGGAACCUCUUCAUUUUCUGUUCAGAUUUUAUAUAUGGACGCAUAAGAGCUCCUUUUAUACACUGAAAACAAAAAAUUAAAUGAAAAAAAACAAUAAAAUCCACAUAUCAUAGAGCACCUUGAUGCAAUCCUGGACUAUGAUCUCUAUCACCACAUUUGGCUUCCAAUUCUGAUAUUUUGGACUUGAGUGAAUCAAUCUGAAAAUAGAGAAUUCAUUGAAUAUAUGCAUUUUAUAUAAAUGGUGCCCACAAAAGGCUAGGCAGAACAGCCUAUCCAAUUAUAUAUUCUCACCUCUUCCCUCAGCAAUUUGACUACUUGGUCUUUAUUGCUCGUUUCUUCGCAUACUUUUUCUACCACAUCAUCAGCACCAUCAACCCGGACUCCACAGUUUAUGGUUCUGGUUUCAUCCAACCCAUCGCAUUUAAGCAUGUCAUUUGAUUUGCAAACUGAUUCAUUAACAUAUUUAUCACCAUGUGGUUGUUUCGAGUCCAUAGACCUUGCAACAAAUUCAUUAGAAUCUGAUGUGUUGCGACCAACAACAUUCAAGGCAUCUUCAGCAUUUCCAUCCUCAUGUAUCAAAAGAGUUGGUUGCGCACUCAUAUUGCCGUCAUGAAUUGAACCCAUUGUGUCAUCAGUUUGAUUGUUUACAAAGGCAAUUGCAUCUCCCAAAUUAGUUGGAGUGUUGUACGUAGAUUGAUUAUCAGGAGAAGAUUUUCCAUCUCUAGCAUGUUCUUUGAACGCCCAAUCCAUUGGAAAUGGGGAGGACAAAUUCUCCUGAUGACAAAGGAUAUCAUAGGAGAGGACACUUCCCAAAGAAUGACCAUAUAUGGAAACCUAUACGGAUGUGAGAUGAAAGCACUCAGUUUAAAUAUAAACUUAUAUGGACAAAGUGUGACUAAAGAAAAUAGUAAAAUGCUUUUUAACCGCAUACCUUUCCAUCAUAACCUGGAUUCCUCCGAAGAAAUUUCAAAUAUAACAGAUUUAAUUGGUUGGAUACCUGUUGGGAAAAAUUGUGUGCAAUUAAGAUGCCAUUCACAUCCAAGAAUGCAAAAGAAUUGGAAAAGUGAAAUCAUCCCAACAGUAUCAUAAAAGUAGACACAGAAAUUUAAAGAAUAAGUAUGCACUACCGAGUUGAUGAUGUCCUGACAAUAUAUGGGACUCAUGUAGUAUAACACAUCAUGAACAGUUGCACUCAGCAUGACACGUAAACCCUUAACACCAUCUAAAGUGCAUUUUUCGACUGCAGUUUCACCACUAAGCUUCAAACCUUUUCUCCACUGAAAUCAAAAUAUCAAUCAGUUUGUAAAAGCAAUGAAACAAAAAAAAAAAAAAAAGGAAAGAAAAAUGAGUAAUGAAAACGUGAAGAUGAGGAAGAAACAAAACCAAAUUAUUUGUUUGAAAAGGAAACAUAUAAAUCCAAAAUGACAUUAAACAGAGGCACACAAAAUAUCAGAACAGAAUGCAGCACACACUGCAGUCUGCAACAAAUCAGCCACCUUAGCUAAUUUUUCUUCAUGUAAAGAAGUAUUGUCAUAUCAUGGUAUCUCCCAGUGAUCGCCAAAUUCAAAUUCAUGUUUCUAAAAUCUCCAUAAUAUUUCAAAUUAUACAUUCCAGGGAAGUGAGGAGCCUAACAAGCUUUAAUGUAAGAAGAUUUUUAUUUCUAUUCUUUUGACAAGAAACAGAUUUUUUAUUAACGGGAAGACUUACAAAAAGUUGAUAAGGAAUCCACCAACAAAGAUUAAAUCUAAAGGACUAGACCAGACCUCUUAAAUAGAAGUAAUUUAAAUAGACCAGACUGUUAAAGUAAGGAGAUGAUUAGCAAGUCAUAUUUAAGGAAAAGAAUGAUGACCACGAAAUAUUUUUACUCUAGGAAACGAAUGUUCAACCAUAUUUAAGGAGAAGAAUGGUGAUCAUCAUUAUGAUAGACAACCACGUCCAACACUGUGGGUACUCUCUUACCUCCCUGUAUAUAAUACUCAAACGACACAAGCUAGUUUCACCAGCAUCACAGGAGUGGUGAUCCAUUUUAUUUCAUAAAGUAUGAAACAGAAGAGUUUUGCGAUAAUUAAAAAAAAAAGUAGAAAGAAAAUGGGAUGAAUAGCAUACAAAAGAGAUUGCUUACCUGGCAUGGGAUAAAAAGAACCCUUUGAGAAUCACGUUGGUGUGAAGUAAGGUGUGUUUCGGCAAGACUUGCUGUUAUAAGGUGAAAAUUAGCAACAUCAUCAACUAAAUUUGAUUUCUCCAAUCUUUGACCAAUUCCAUGAACCAUGAACACAAGGUGUCGAACAGGAACCUAAAUCAAAUAUGCAACGUCAAUCUUAUCACUUUCAAAAAAAUAAAAAACUUAAAUGAAAGGAAAUCUUAAUGCUGCAAACAGACGGUUUUUGGAAAACAAAAAUUAUGGACUCUGGAGAAUCUCAAACAUAAGUUUUGGACGAAUUAGAUUUUGGGUUUCUUUCAGUUACGCCAGUUAUAUAUCAGAGCAACCACCCUUCACUUUCCUAGCAAAAUUAUUAUCAUACAUUUGUCACCUUGAAACCGAGUAUCGAAACCAAAAAGGUAUAGAUUAACCUUCAAAAAAUCUAAUAGGCAAAAGGCAGGAUUUAUCCUAAAAGCAUGGGCCACAAGAUCUUCUUGUUCGUGAACAGCCUUAAAGAUUGACAUUAUAAAGAACUUGUUACCAACUAGUCACUAAGAGCUGGAAGAAGACAUUGGGCAUGGAAGAACACGUUGGUACAAGUUGUAUGAAGGAAGGAAUAUAUGAAAAUAAUAAGUACAAAACUAAAAACAACAUUUUUAUUUGAUAUGUUAAAAUGCAUACCUGCGAGCAAUAAUCAUCCAUUUCCUCCUCCUUCUGCUGGCGCAAUUCAUUCUAUAAUAGAAAAUGAUUGUGAGAAAGAUGAUAAUUUAUUCUUUUUUGUUUAAUUUUAAUGCUCAAACAAGACUUUCUUAUGCUGAAAAUAAUUGAAAUUCUCAUGUUAGAAAUCAUAACAGAACCGGACAAAUAAGACAACUCUGGGGGUGAAGCGGACAUACAAUUAAGAAACCAAUGACAAUUGUUUAAGUGCUAACACUAGAGAUUUGAAUGUAACCGCCCAACCAAACCAAACCCAUCGAGACAUGCAAUGCCACAUGAAACCUACUAUCAUUGUAGCAACUAAUUGUUCCUGUUGUUUUUGUUGUCCUUUCCCUUUCCUCUAGUUAUCAUUAUUACACCUAAAAGACUAUGAUAAAAAUUAAAAUCUAGGAGCAAAAUACCACGCGUACCUUGCUUAAAUGGUUUCAGUAAAGCUGAGAAGCAAGUUUCUUUUUCUGUUUAAAAGUUAAAAAUUAUCUGAAAUUUACAAAUACACCAGCUAGUGACUAGAUGCAGACUUCCACCAAACUUCAGAUCAUCCUUUUCCAUCUUCAAACAUCCAUUAGAAUCCAAAGCAUAGACACCAUCAGAUUAAGAUGAUAUGACGGAAAAGUUCACAUAGCAACAAGUAUAAUUUCACGAGUACCAAAAAGAAACAACAAAUCCGGCAUCAAUGACAAACUUGCUCAAAUAAAUUCCAAAAAUUUGACUCACCACAACCGAAAAAGGUAAAAUGUUGAAAAAAAAAGGUAUUGAAGGCAGUGUCAGAACUUAUCCCAUCAAAGAAUUUAUCAAAUAGAUACCUGUGUGGGUUUCGGAGAGUGCGAUGUGGAAUAUCCACGCCUUAAUUUCAUGCCAUUUCCACCUAACGUAAUGACACUAGAAAAACCAGAAGCAUCUAUAUUUAGCCAAGCCUCCCAAGUGUUAUCUUCUCCUGUGAAAAGCGCAUGCAGUCCCUAAAAGUACAUCCCCAGGAUGUGUUUAAGAAUACAAUAAUAAAAUUAUAAAAUGUCUUUUCCAAAUAGCAAUACACAUACAGGUGUAGAGCCUUGCAAUUCAACUCGAGCUGCAAAAAGUCCAGAGGGCUGAAACGUUCUCCGGUGCCAAACCUGGAGAGAAAAAGUCCAACUUCACCAACAUGUGCUUAUACCGUGUAUACCAAAAGAGAUUUAGAACAUGAGUCCAAACAGAAGAGCACAUGUACAAGAGGCAGACUGAAGCAGUCUUAAAAAUCAUUCCAUAAAUCUACAUUUUGGUAUGUUUUGAACAUAAAAACAAUCCUCUGAAUCAACAUAAAGUAAGGGGAGUUAUCAAACUUUCUGACACAGAAUCUGGAUAAAGGUUACCAAAUAGACAAUGAUCAGGAUAUGCACACUCCAACUAAUCAGAUACAUGAUUGUUUAAAGUCACCCAUAUUAAUACUGAAGCUAACCUGAUUACGAUAUGCAACCUCUAAUUGUUCAGAAACAUCUUCACGAAGUGGGAGCCAAUCGGCCCCUUUACAAGCAAACCAGUGACCUCUUAACACACGCAGGUUUUCUCCAUCCCAAUAGACAGGGAAAGAAUGCCGCUUCACUAAAUCUACCUGCAGCAAUUACAUGACUAUGUCAACUCAAAUCAAUCAUGCCUUUAUCCAGAAAAUAGUUGGAGUCGGGUCAUUUCACUUGAUACACUUCAGACUAGUAACCAACGAAGUAUCUUACGAUGCUAACAUCAUGAGAUUUUUACUGAAAAUCAUACAAAAUUUUCCCUGCAUCAACUCAAAUGGAUUCAUCAACAACGACUACUUAAGAGAACAUCAAGAAAGACUUGCCAACGCAUGCAAAGGAGUUGAUUGGUACUGGAUAGCUACAUUUUCAGGCCCACAUGUAUUUCUCUACUCUUUACACUGACAAUGAAAACCUUGAAAAAAGAAGGCUUACCUCAUAAAGCCCUCCCUUAACAGGGACACCAACUCUUUCUUCAUCCACUUGAUCUAACUCAACCGACCGACCCCUCUCUAAAGAAAAUGAACUCUGCCGCGGAGCCACCUUCUUACUUGAACUAGGCCGCUCUUUCGGGCCUUCGCUACAUUCUGCGUACUCCUUCCACCACCAAGAAAGCAACUCUUCCUCCCUCUGCAUGCAUGCAAAUCCAACCCUCAAGUAAUUAGACCAAUUCAAACACAAAUAACGCAACUUUAUCACUUAACAAACCAAACCCACCUGCAAAAACGAUGCCUCAAUUGCUAGAGAGUCCCUCAUACCGAACCGAAAAUACUCCCCUUUCCCCACCAUCUCACUCUUUGGGACUGAAGCAGCCAUCUCUGCACAAUCACAGAAGCAGAAAAUUGCCAAUUGUGAAUUGAGAAGUAAAAACGCACACUAGAACUCAAAACUCCAAUGCUCUUGAGAUUCGAAUUACCAUUCUCCGCCAAUGGGACUUUGCAAAAGUACCACCGGACAUCGCCGCCGUCGGACGGGCUUCUAGUCUGAGCCAAAUACUUCUUGUGUCCCUUACAAUGUCCAAUCUCAUCCUCCAAUCUCGCGAUAUUACUCGGCGUGUUCUUCAGCAAAUCCGGAAACGUUUCUUCCGCCACACGCUUCGCCUCCGAAUCCGCCAUGCCCAACAACAAAGCUCUCCCCUCUUUUCAAAUCCCCAACUCAAAGACUCCCCUUUUUCAAUUCAUCCCAAAACCCUAAUCGCCGGCGCCGGAAACGCGAUCAGAAACAGCGGAAGUGGGCCGGGAUUUUGGAGUGGAAUUGGGAAUUAGAGAGUUUGUGGGAGCCGGAGGAGCGCGAGGAAGUGGAAUGCAAAACCGAAAUGGUUGCUCCAAUUUCAAAGUGGGAACGUGGAAAAAUCAUGACCGAGAAGGUGCGGAGGGAAGGAGAGGGGGUUGUUGUUCGGAAGAAGAACGACCGUUCGGUCGGUGUUGAAUGGCAGGUGGAUUGCAACGACUGCACCACCGUUACAAAUGGCGGAUGCGUGCCUUUCUCUUUCUUUCCUGUAUUUUUUUUCAUAUUUUUUACUCGAUUUCUCCUUCGGCAAGAAAGCCCAGUGAUGGGCCCUUGGCAAGUAUCCAAUUGGACUUAUUGGCCCAGCAUUUUUUAUUUUUUCUUAUUUAUUUCUUCUCUCUCAUGUCUACUUGCUAAAGUUAAUUACGUCGCUUUAGUGAACGUUUCGUGAUCACAUGCUACAUACUUGUAUUCAUCGAAUUGAAUUGCAUUCACCAUCAAUUAUGCUAACUUUUAUAACUGUUGUCACUGUUAUUCUAAAUUCACAAUUUGUCACUUUUUUUUGGUAAAGACCAUGAAGUGUCGACACAUCCGAUAGAUGAGACUAAUCUUCGUUUGAUGUUCGGCUUGCCUCUUGCCACAAAGUGCUUUCAUUUGGUUUCGGCCCUUGCCAGAAAGGUGGCAAUUUGCCACUCGCACCACACCUUGUGGUUACACACUCUUAAAAGUUAAGGAGAAUGGACUUGGGACAUGAAAAAAUUGAGGCAUGAAACAACCACUAAACUUCAUACGAUACUUUUGUGAUUAUAUCUUCUUUCUCUUGAGCCAUAGUAACCAAGUAAAACUAGGAAUGAGAGUUUGAACUGGUUAAAUAGCGAUUUGAGUCAUAAUCGUUUGGUUCUUGAUUUUUUCACUUACAACUCUAACCAAUUUUAAUACAUUAAUACUCUAACUGGUAACAUGAGUCUCAUUACCUUCUUAUCGCCUCUCUUCCGAUGUUUCCUCCAAAUAUAACAAAAUUAAUUAAAUUGAACCGAAAUUCCUCUAUUUUCUAAAUUAUUGUAACAGUUUCGAAUCUCCCCCUUCCCCUUAAUAAUAAUAAAUUAAAAAAUAAAUAAAUUGAGCCGAAAACAAACCAAUACACUUUGUUAUGAUGCAAAAUACAUACUACCAUAUCAAUAAGGAAUAUAAUUUUAAUGACGAGCAAAGCGGACCGAACCAAACAGUAAAAUAAAGAGGGCCUAACAGCCCAUAGGUAAAGUAUUGAAAAGGGCCCAAAAGGCCCAAUACACCCUAACCCUAAAAAUUGUUUUGGGUGGUUGAAUAUUAAAAUAUCUUAGGGCCCCACUCUAUAUAAGGCCUUAAAACCCUUUCAUCACACUCAGAGACACAGUCGUAUCCGUUCCGAUCAAGUCCCUCCAUAGCUCCCACCCACUCAAAACUCUAACCCUCACAUUCAUCCCAAACCCUAGAUUCGCCAAAACCCAACCGGACUAAUCAAGUGCCUUAUGGCGGAGGAGGAGGUUGUGGUAGCCGCGGAGAGCCCUAUGCCGUCGGAUCACAAGCGCAAGCUCGAGGAUUUGGAGCCUAAAGCAGCACCGGAAAUAGUUGAGCUCGACUCCAACGGUCCCGAUGACGCGAAUGCAGAGCCUGAUUGCACCGAAGAAGUCGAUGUAUCGCCGUCCGAUAAAUCAGAAGCGAAGAGGCCUCGCCUUGAUGACAAGCCCGACGGAAUAGGUAAUUUUGCUGUUGAUUUUGAAUUCUAGGGUUUUUCUCAUCUCUUUUGGGUGUGAAUUUGUUGCGAGUUCUUCUAGUUUUUAGCUGACAUUCGUUGUUUAUUUAUUUAUUUAGUAAUUAGGUCUCUUUUUUUUGCUAUUUUUUAGAUUAUAAUCUUUUUUGGGUAAAAUAUAGUCAGAAUUUGUAAAAUGAGGUAAUUUAGGGCUUGUUUGGAUGUACUUUUAAAAUGGAUGAAUGCACUUUUAGAGAAAAUUUUAUGGAUUCCAAAUACUUUCUGCAAGAAGCACCAGUUAGAAAGUGCUUUUUUAGGAUUUACUUGUAUUUUUACUAAGGAUUAUUUCCAAAAACAUUUUCACCAAAAGCGCUUUCAGUCAUUUUAAAAAUACGUCCAAACAAGGUCGUAAUUGUUCUUGAGGAUUGGUUUGCACCAAAAAAAAAAAGGAUUUUUGUACCCUUUUUUUUAAUGUGGCAUCUUCCUUGAUGAUAACAGCUAGUGAGAAUGGCCACCAAGAGGAGAAGGUAGAUGAGCCCAAAAAGGAGAAUGAGGAUCAGCCAAGUGUAGAUAGCGGUGACUUGGAGGUCCCCCAACCUGCGUCUGUGGAAGUUACCGAAGCAGUGACCGACGAGCAAAAGUCUGAAGUUAAUGAACUACAGAAUGGCAUGAAUAGUGAGCCGAGUGACACCCAAAAUCAUGCUGAGAAUUCUGUGGCGGAAAAAGCUGAGGAACCCUCUCAAGGGGAGUCUCAACCACACUAUGCAGAGGAACCUCAGCAAGGUGAUGCUUACUCUGCGCAACAAGAACAGCCUUCUGUGAGUGAGACUGUGACGCACAAAAUGGAGGUUCCUAAUAAUAAGGUCUGCUGCUUAUAUUCAUAUUAUGUAACUGGGAGCUCUGAGCUCCAGUUGGUUCAAAUUCCACCUAUGACUUAUUUGGAAUUCAUUUGUAAAUAUUAGUCGGAAAGAAAAAAGUGGCCUAAAGUAUUGUAUAAAAAUGUGCAGGUUGGGGUUUUAAUUGGCAAGUCGGGGGAUACUAUACGGUACUUGCAAUACAAUUCUGGAGCAAAGAUUCAAAUCACAAGGGAUUCCGAUGCAGAUCCAUAUUCUGCAACCAGGCCAGUGGAGAUAAUAGGAACUUUGGAUAAUAUAAGCAAAGCAGAGAAACUGAUAAAUGCUGUUAUUGCCGAGGUUUUUUGCUCUCGCUGACUUUCUUGUUCUGCUUUCCAAGAAUCUUGUUCGUCGUUUGUGUUUUCACAGUUGGAGUCUGGAGUUUUUUUUUUCAAGCUGAAUAAGGUUUACGCUCUUUUUUUUUUCAGGCUGAUGCAGGGGGUUCUCCUUCUUUGGUUGCUAGAGGCGUUGCUACUGCACUGGCUGUUGCAGCAGCAGAACAAAUUCAGAUUCAAGUUCCGAAUGAGAAGGUGAUUGCCUUUGCUUCCAUGUUUACAUGGCAUGUGCCUUUGCAUUCCAUAAUACUUUAUAAAAGUCCGAACUUUUCUUCUGCCAGGUUGGUUUGAUAAUUGGCAGAGGUGGAGAGACCAUUAAAGGUCUGCAGACCCGAUCAGGGGCACGCAUCCAGGUAGUUGAUAAUGUAUGCCUUGCCUUUAUGCAUGGGAACAGAAUGGUGCACUUUUUUCUGACUGCAAUGUGUCCUUACUGGCCGGACCUUUUUCCUGUCAUUUAGUUGAUACCCCAACAUCUUCCGGAGGGGGAUGAAUCUAAAGAAAGGACUGUCCGAGUUACUGGUGAUAAGAAGCAGAUUGAAGUUGCAAGAGAAUUGAUAAAGGAAGUUAUGAAUCAGGUUAUUUUUUGACCUACUCCUUGAAAUAUUUUUCUUUUGGGUUUUUAAUUUGUGAUUGCUUAUACAGAGGUUGUUACUUUUGUGGUUAUUAUAUUUUGUGCGAGCGGUAUUGUGGUUGCUACUGUGGUUUCUUCUUCAUUGGACCAUUGUCACUGUAUGCUGGUUGAGUUGUUUUGUUUCUUAUACCUAUUUCUGAUCUCAUACACGUCAUAUUCUAUGCUACAAAUGAUUGGAUGCAUUUCUUUUUUAAUUCUAUUUGACAUGUGCCGGCUUAAUGGUUGUCCCCACUUAGUUGAUAUGUCGUCAACCAUAUCCUAUGCUCGUCAAGAUUUAAGAUAGACAAGUGUUAUUAUUUAGAUGUCUUGAGUAAAAAUGAACUGAGGUAUUUGGAUGUUUUGAUUCUUGUCUAUUGUUUUUUAAGACGCCGAUAAACAAGUACAAUUACAUAUUUGUAUUGUAUGUCCUAUUCAAUUGUCAAGUAGUUUUCUCAGAAGGCCGGUUAAAUAGAAAUUCUGCAUAUUUUGACAUUGAGCAACAUAAUUUUAUGGUUAUGUUAUGAUUAGAUGUCCAAUGAAAUAUAUUUGCAUGCCUGUGACAACUUUUGGUCCAUUUGAGGAAAGAAUUAUUACCAUAUUUUUCCAUGGGAAUGAGAGCAAGACCUUUUGCCCCCAAGAGUUUGCAAUAUUGAUGAAUGAACCAUGCCAACGUCACUUAAUUGCUGUUAGGAAGAUCAUGUAUUCAAUCAAAGAUGCCGGUUGCCAUGAUUUAUUUGUGUUGAAGGUGCCGAUUUCGAAUUGGUUGGCUUUAAAAAUGCAGAUUUGGCUAUUGCAUUUUCCAUGGGGUCAGCAUUGCCUAGACAACCACUAUUCACUGUCAUCCACCGAAGAAAGGUAUCAGGCAUUUAAUUUCGCGAUUGCAGGAUGUUUAUAGUUGGUAAGAUUGCUUUGAGAUCUGAAAGUUGAAAAUCCUAAUUCAGCAAGACUAUAUUGCAUUAGCCUUAGUGCACAUAAGCACCUCCAGUAUUCUAUGCAUGACACGUCCCUGGAAAAAAAUUGAUAUUCCUGGUGACUUGAUGUUUAAAAAGAAUCUGUAUGAAACCCAUAGUCUAAGAGUUAGCGUUUGACCUAUGCUAAUGCACUCAAACAUGUGGUACAUGUCUUCUGAUAUGCAUCAAUUAAGGUAUAGGCAUUUCUUAGGCUAGGGUCAAUUCUAUAAUAAAACAUUAGCAUACGUCUAUUACUUGUUACCUAUUUGAAUCGACUUGAUCUGAUGCUGAAGCAUGUAGCACACAUACGUCAAGUAGAAUUAACAUACUUCUCAAAGAGUUGAAAUCAACAUGAUGUUUCUUGCUUGAUACUUUGAAUGCCUGAUGUGCCUGUAAUUCAAUGUUGUGGCUUUGCUAGAAAUUCAUUCUUCAUUGCAUUUUAGAUGAUGCCUUAAAAAUUGGAGUCAUCAAUAUCAGCUAAUUUUCUUUGCUGCAUAUUGACUGGGGAGAACAAAAAAAGAAAGGGCUGUCAUUACUCUAAAGCAGUGAGAGAAUUUUAGCAGCACUUGGUUAUCUCUGCUAUUUGAGUUUGGAAGGAUUGUUAUAGGGUUAACUCAAGCAUAGAAAACCAGAUUUGUGACUGUUGCAUUAGAUAUCAACUUUGUGUUGUAUCCGAGUAUGGCGAGUAGUUUACUUUUUGACUGGGAAAUGAUACAUGGAUGACUUUGCCGAGGCACCUGGACAUGAGUUUGAUUCUUAGCAUGUCAACAUAUAUAUUUUUUGUUUGUUUGAUAAGACAGGGACUGUGAUAGCCGGAUAAAUAUAGAAAUACGCUGAGUAUACGUUUUGUUGAACAUACUUUCUACGAGUUUGAUGGCCUACUAUUUAUUUUAGCAACCCUUUAAAGUAGUUUGUAUCCAUUUAGGGAACAGUUCUCUGCUAUGUGUAGUCUCAGACAUUAUUUUCUGGUAUGGUUUGUUAAUGGCAAUUUCACAUUGUAUCUCUUGCUAUAGUAGCCCUUGUUCCUUGUAUCCAUUCAUUGCAUUCAGUCAAGACAAUGCACAGGAGCCCCUCAAGUUUAAAGAACGCGAGAUGCGGCUAGAAGAGCAACUUCUGUAUUUAUUUUCUUAAUUAAUUGUAGAUUUGUUGUUUAUAUGUACUAAUUAAUGCAUUUUGUGAUUUGAUUUGAAUAGACUGUGAGGCCAUCAGCUCUCUCCAGUGGUUUUAAUCAUCAGGGUUAUCGCCCCCAUGGACCAGGUGGUUCCCAAUGGGCUCCGCGAGGGCCUCAUCUACCUCAGCCAUCUUCGUAUGAUUAUCCGCAACGAGGACCUUAUCCAUCCCAUAAUCCUCAGUACCCUCCUGCUUAUGGGGGUUAUCCUCAACAUAUGGGUCCAAGAAGUGGCUAUGGUUCUGGUUGGGAGCAAAGGCCACCUUCUAGCAUGCCACAUGGUGGUGGUUAUAAUUACUAUGGUGGACAAGUAGCUGAUGCCCCAGUAUCUGCCCAACAUUCUGCUCCCGUUCCUUCUCAUGCUCCUGGCCCAUCUCCUAACCCUGCAAUGGGUGCACCGUCCCAAGCAAAUUACAAUUAUGGGCAGCCACAUGGUCCAGAUUAUGGUCAUCCGGCACCUUAUUCCCAGGCUGCACCUCCUCAGCAUAACUAUGGGCAUGGAUACGAAGAACCAAAAUAUGAUAAUCAUGCUCCAACGCAGCACCCUUAUGCAGGAUAUGCACCUUCCCAGCAAUAUCCACAAACUGGAGCUCAUCCAGGUUAUGGUCCACAGCAGCAUUACAGCAAGCCACCACCAUACGGCAUGCCAUCACAAGCUCCAACUCCUCAGUCUUAUGGCCCUCCUAGGGCUAAUCAACCAGGAGAUGCAGUUUAUCAGGGUUCUGCACCACCUCACUCAUAUGGUCCGAAUGUUCUAGCUCAACAGUCAUAUCCAUAUGCAUCCAGUGGACCUGCUCAGCAGACGUAUCCUGCAUAUGGUUCUGCACCAGCUGCUGAUGGGUACAGUCAGCCACCACCCGCUUCUGGCUCAGGUUAUCCACAACAAGGCGGGCAACCUGUUAGCUAUGGCCAGCCUGGUGCACAGCAGGCAGCUGGCGGCUAUGGACAGGCAGCUCCUACUGCAGGGUACGCACAAUACCCAUCUUCUCAACAAGGUUACGCUGAGCAGGCUGCUCCAAAUGCAGCAGGUUACGGGUACCAGGGGUCUCAAGACCCUGGAUAUGGAGCUGCCCCUGCAGCAUCAUAUGGUGCACCAGCGGCUGCGCAGCCAGGUUAUACUCAAUCGGCAGCUCAACAAAAUUAUGAUCAGUCAAUCCCCCAGUCCGCCGGUUAUGGAGCUGCACCACCAGCUGCAUCAGCUGGUUAUGGGAAGACGGUGUCUCCUCAGCCUGGUUAUCCCCAGUACGACUCGAGCCAAAUGUAUGCUGCUGCACCUCGUUGAAUAUUAGACUAAUCUUGUUUCUUUUGUCAUAAUUUCAUGUUGUUGUUUGAUGCCAGACUCCUUUUCCCAGUCGUAGUUAGGCCUAAUCAGACUGGAUCGCCGAACUUUUGCGCUUACUGUGUUUCUAUUGAUGUAAUGCAGCGCUAAUGCUUUAUUAAAUUGUGAACCUUAACGAGGGAAUGAGAACGAAAAUCGUCCCUGUAUGUGAAUUUCUUUUUCAUUAUUUUUUCACGAGUCCUUUUGCUCGAAAUGCUUUUAUUGUAAGCAUGUUGAUAUUUUAUCUACAAAUUCAAGUGCUUUUUGAAGAAGUACUUUGUAGGUGUUUCUUCAAAAUGCAUUUCUAUACCAUCAAAAGCGUUUUUAGUGGUCAGGAAUCAGUUUGAGUCAUUCCAUAAACAAUUUUAAACUGGCUGAAAGCCUUUGAUAGCGCUUGGUCGAAGAAAUAAAAAGUGCUUGUAAAAAAAGCACUCCUAAAGAAUUAAUUCCACUUUUUUUUUAUGAUUGACACAACAUACAUAAUCAUCAUAAGUUUGAAGGGUAACGUACAUGGUAUUGGAACACCAUCAUUGAAGUUUUAUUGUGAAUGGUACGACGCCAGAUGAAGAAAAAAAUUUACACAUAUUUUGUUUCGUAGAAGAAUAUUCUGAGCCACAGUAACAAAAUACUCGUGCCACGACAAUUUUUACGUAACUUAUGAGAAGGAAAAGAAAGUAAAUAGGGUGGUGGUUAAAAAGGAAAAGAAAAGAAAAUUAGAAAAAAGGCGUAGGUAGGGUUUAACGUUUAUAGAUUCGAGGUGGAGGUGGGGGUGGUGGUGGGCUGUGUGACUGUUGAUUGUCUAACAAAUGGCAGAGGCUUUCAGGCAGCUCCCUCUCUCUCUUUCUCUCUCUCUCUCUCAUUGAGGAGAGAGUCAUUUGCGUUGCAAGCAAAUGCAAAGAGAAAAGACGGUGAAGGGAAAAGAGAGUAUCUUGUAGGAUACGCAACAGAAGUUACAGAGGUGGUGGCCUGAAUCCUGUGUCGAGACUGACACCUCACCAUCUUCUUCCAACUCAUUUAUUAUCUUACUCCAUGUCGUCACGUGCCAGUUGCCUCCAUCCAAUUCCAAUUUCACAUUCCUUCCCUCCUUCCCUCCCUCCCAUAUUCUGUUCCACAAAAAGAAAAGUUGUAGCAAUACUCCUUUAAUUUUUACUAAAUUAAAAUAAUAGUUUUCAACUAAAAAGGUAUAACCAUUAAUCCCUUAAUUCGUCAAAACGUGCAGCUAUGAUCCUUUCUUCAAUUUUGUUAAAACUUCUAUCAAAAUGAGUUACGUGUCACGCACAAGAGGUUGAAUCGAGGGACAAAUAUGGAAAACCAAAUAAGAAAAAUUGUAGCAAUAGUCCCUCAACUUUAACCCAAUUGGAUAAAUAGUCCCUUAACUUUAACCCAAUUGAUGCAAUGGUCCUUCAACUUUUAUCCAAUUGUAGCAAUGAAGCUUCUAACAUAACUCGUUUUAAUGGAAUUAUGAUAGAGUUAACGAAAAUGACUAUAGUUGCACUUUUUGAUAAGUUAAGGGUUUAGAGUUGAGAAACUAUUGCUACAAUUUUCUCUUCACAAAACUACCUAAAACCCUAAAAUUAAAUUAAAUUGUAAAUAAAAAUCCAUGACUUUAUCUUGUGAGGUACCAUUAUUUUUAAGGAAAACUAAUAAAAAUAACUUGAAAAUGUUGAGUUUUAAAGUUAAUGACAAAAUAAAGGGUAAAAUGAAUAGUAUUAUAAUUGUCUUUUUAGUGUAAAAAUAUGAUUUUUCAUUAAAGUGAACAGUACCGAUAACUUUUCGUUAAAGUAUCCUUAUUUUUAUUCAUUUUGUAUAUCGCUUACCAAGAAAAGGAGGAUAUUCUUUCAUAUAUUUUAGUAUUUUUAUUUCAGCUUACUUCUUUCAAAUUUUUUGCUUUUAUAGUCACAACAAAGUUAUAACUUUUCUUGGAGUUUCAGGCUAAAUUAUGAUUUAGAGAAAUACUAAAUAAACUCGCUUAAAAGUAGAAUUUUCUACCAUCUCAUAAUUUUUAUACAAUAUUAUAUUUUAUAAUGUUGACACGCGAGUUAAUGCUAAACUGUGAGGUGCACUUUGAGAGUCUCCUUAGCAUUUCUCUAUGAUUUAAUAAAAGGAAAACUAAUGAAAAGAGUUUCAAAUCUUUACAUUUUAAUAAAAAACCACCCACAAACUUUAUUUAAUAAUAAGGACAAAAGACUAAAAAAAUAAAAAAACUAACACAUCCAACUUGCGCUCCCCCCCCCCCCCAAAAAAAAACUUCAAACACUCCAUCUUUUUCCUUAAUAGAUUUUUUUUAUUUUUUUUUCUACCAAGAUAGUGAGAAUUUUUUAGUGUGAUCCCUAAAGGAACAUUGGCUGCCAUGCCCAUUGAUUGGAUCACAAGCACUUUUGCUGGAAGGGGUUGUGGGCGAAGGUUUUUUGCAAAUGCAGUUUGCAACAAGGCUGCUGGCGGGCACUUGAGUUUCAUUCCUGGAGGGGGCUACAAAACCUUUGCGACUAGUAGAAUGACACUGCUAACAGCACCGUAUGACUUUGCUAUCGGACAACUUCCAGAUUGCAGCCACUCAUUACCCAAUGCCUUGUGAUUAGAAUCUUAUUUAGAGGAAUUAGAUUUCCUUUGCUGUUUCUUCCAUGCAUCGAAACUGAAUGGCCAUCCAGGACCAAAGAUUGAGAGACAAAUUGUAGCUGCCUUUGUAGCUAAUGGAUUAAACAUGGGUGGUAGGGCCGAAGGUUGAGGCUCAACUAUGUCAAAAGAAUGCGAAAUCCAAAAUUGUGCACUUGGUUCUUUAAGCACACUGUUAGAGACAUAUUUACGGUAACCCCAUAUAUAGUUUAGAUUACUUGCACCUAAAGUUUCUAUAUUGUAAUAUUUUAGUUUCCUACCACUUAUUGGAAAACUCAAAAACUCUUCUUCGGUGUUGAGCAAUCUGAUUCAAAGAGGGAGAAGAAUGUAGGGGAGAAGAAUUUAUGUGCAGAAAGAGAGGACCAUUCAGAGUUACAUUUUAGUAAAUUUUCAUAAACAAUAUCGUAAGUUUCAUAAAUGGUGUCGUAAGUUUUCAUAAACAGUGUAGUAAGGUUUCAUAAACAGUGUAAUAAAUUUCAUAAACAGUGUAUCGUGAGUCUUCGCGUCAGAUUUUUUGUCAUUUUUAUUAAAAUUAUGUCUUUUUCAUUAAAAUUUAAGUUCUUUUGUCAUUUUUAUUAAAAUUUAAGGGGUUUUCUUUAAAAUUUAAGUCUUUUUAAUUAAAUAAAGUUAUAACAUGAUUUUUUAUUAAAAUAAACUUAGUCCAAGCCCUUUUCAUGAAAGUUCCCUUUAAUAAAAUGAUAUAGUUAUAUUAAAGGAAUGAAGGAAUAAAUUGGUUGCUAAUUUGUCAUACUUGAUAUUCGAACAUAAGAUUGCUUACUUAUAAGACAAUAGAAAUACUAUUAGACCGAGAUACUAAGUGACUUACUAAAUUAUAGCUUAAGUUCGUGUGGUUUGAGGGAAGUUCUCAAGUGAUGGUUUCGUUGUAUCCCUAUUUCUAAUUUUAUAUUAUUUUUCUUCUUAUGAUAGGAAGAUUUUAUGGUGUUCAAAAAUGAUGUUCCAAAGUAUUUUAUACUCUUAAGGUUUGUAACCGCUAAAUUGUGCGUAUUGUAUCUUCAAUCAAGAAUUCAAUAACUACAAAUCUUAAAAUAUUCGAUACCUUGGAGCACUGUAAUAAAAUUGCCUUAUGCAUUCAUAAGAUAAUGUUAAUAACAAAAAUGAUGAAGUCAGUAGGUAUUAGUUAUUAGAGUGCAUUUUUUGUCACCAUUAUUUAAUGUAGUGUAUGUUCAUCAUCCUAUUUAUCAUCAUUAAAUAAGUUUAAAUUUUGAGAUUUGUGUUUAUCCACGAUACGAAUCUCGAAAUUCAAACUCAUAUAACGAUGAUUAAUAUAAUGGUGAGCAAAAAUGCUCGCUUAGUUAUUACAUCAUUCGAUAAUGCCUUAAAUUCCAAGAAACAGGGUUAGGAAAAACAUGGUUGAAUUUAAAAUAUAUUUUCUUCUGAAAUUCAGAACUAAAAAAUGUCAGCUAUGCAAAAAGGGCAAAAAUAAACAAAUGUUACUGCUGCACAGACCACAUUCAUACCAAAAAUACCAAAAUACAAGAAAAGUUAAAAAAAAAAAA